RNAcentral lists this long non-coding RNA (55969 nucleotides) under Vitis vinifera (wine grape). RNAcentral describes it as "long non-coding RNA (VVIN_LNC002995)". The record is from RNAcentral. Lineage: Eukaryota; Viridiplantae; Streptophyta; Magnoliopsida; Vitales; Vitaceae.
UUUUUUAAACCAACAUCUAAACGACGUCGUUUUGAUGCUACUGGCAUCAAAAUGACGCCGUUUUGGAGUCCUAUUUAAGCCAAGGAGAUUUCCACCGCUGCGCCGCUGCAAGGGAUCUGCUCCAGCUCCAGCCCUUCCUCCUUCGCCCGUCGUCGCCGUCCCAUCUACGACACCAAGGGAUCCCGCCGACGGCCUGCGACAGCAAGAGAGAUCCCGCCGGUAGCCACGACAGCAAGAGAGAUCCCACCGGCAGCCAAGGGUAGCUUCCCCCCUCUCCUCUGCCCGCCGACGACCUGUGACAUUCACACAGGUCUCGCCGGUGACCCACGACGCCCGCCUGCGUUGGAAAGCUCCCCCCCUCUUCCAGCUAGUAGCCCACCCCGGCGUUGGAGGUUGCCACUUUGCCCACAGUAUCUAUUAUGAAAUGUACAACAGAAACUUGUUGAAAGGUGUGGUGAUCAUCUCUACAACCUUCUCUGCCCCCACUCUCAUGUAUGUAUGGUGUUCUAUGGGAACAGUGUACCUAUUUUACAUGGAUGGAAAUUAAAUUUAGUGUUUAUUCUUAUGGUUGUUAAUCCAUAUUCUAGGAGGUUUCUCUGAUCACACUUUUUCCCUCUUUUAAAAUUUCUAUUGCUGCAGCCUGGAAACUUUUGUGAAGAGAAAAGUUGGUUUGAGGAGCAGCUGGAGAUGAGCUAGCCGCACUGCUGUUCUUGUGAUUGGUGGUGCCUCCAACAAUUUACGAAAGGGAGGAAUGUACUGAGCAAUUCCAAGUAUUUGAUGCAAGAACUGUGGAUAAGUGUUCUUUAAGAUGCUACUGAAACAUGUGGAUAUACGCCUUCUUAAUCAUCAAGUAGAAAAGGCGAAUAUUUAAGGGUCUUUUUUUACUUUUGAGGAACUAAUAUCUAAUUAGUUCUUGGGAAACAGGGAGGGGCUAUUCUCUUAUAUUCUAUUUCAUCUCUAUUGAUCAAGUUGUUAUCUUUUUAUGUUGUUGGAUUUGUAAAAGUAAAGUCGUUAGGCAUUACAAUACCUAUUUUGGGGUUUCUUGGAGCAGCUUUUGUUUGAAAAGAAGAGAAUAGCGGUUCAUUUUUUAUUCAUUUUUUAUAAUAUAUGUCAAAAUUUACAUAGAAUUUAUUCAUUUUUUAAUUUUUUAUAAUAUAUAAAAUAAUAAAAUAUAUAUUUAUGACGUCACCGGUUCGAUAGCGGUUCGACCGCCGGUCCGACCGGUGAACCGGUAACUUUUCCGGUUCAAUGACCGGUCCGGUUCUGAAAACAUUGGUGCAUUGCUCGGGAGAGAUGUCAUCCUCAGCACCACCAUGGCCUGCCAUGCUUCCUGCUACACGUCCAUGUAGCUGGUUUUUCUCUAGAAAGAGGUUCCCCCCACUUAAAAAAAACAUGGAAAAAUCUCACUCUCCCUGGUGGUCUCAAAAACAAAAGAAAAACUAUUGGUUUUGGAAGGGUCUACAAAAAGCCUUAUGAAAGAAAUUCAUUAUAUUUAAAUUUGGUUUAAACUUUUUAUUAUUUAUUUUCAUUCAAUUUUCUUUACUUUAAAUUUUCAAGAUUCCAACAAACCAUUAUGUAAUUUUAAAUUCUUCAUGGUUUAUAUGCAAAAAGAAAAUACAAUAUAAAGGGCUUGUUUGGCAACAACAGUUUUUUAUUCUCCAAAAUAAAAAAAUUAGGCAAAUAUGUUUGACAACCAAAAAUUAUUUUUGUUUUCUAUUUUUGACAACAAAAAAUAGGAUGUUUUCAUAAAAUGUCUUUUAGUUGUUUUAUAUUAUUUUCAUUUUUUUUGUUUUAAAAAAUAAUUAUAAUUAUUAAAAAUGAAACACUAAACAUAAAAAUUAUUUUUAAAACAUAUUUAAAAAUAUUAAAAAUAGGUUAAAAAUAUUUUAGGUUUUCAAAUAAGCUUUUUUUUUUACAAAACAUCUCAUAGCUAUUUUAAAAAACAAUUAUCAAAUAGAUCCAAAUUUGCUAAAGCCUAACAUCCUUUUCAUUUUUUUUUUUGUCUUUCUCUCAUACUUUCUAUCUCCCAAACAAAGACUAACACUUCAUUUGGAUAUGGAAAGAUAUAAGGAAAUGUGCAAAAGAAAAGUAAAUAGGGGAAGGAAAUAAGGUGAAGUAAAACUAAAAAAAUUUAAAAUAAAUAAUUAUUUAAAAUUAUUUCAUCAUUUUAUCUUCUAAAAAAUUUUCCUUAUGCUUUAAUUUUAUUUUAUAUUAUCUAUGAUAGACCAAAUAAAAAAUUUAAUUUUUUUGAUUAUUUUUUCUCUUUUAUUGAUGCUUAUUUAUACUUUAGAUUUUUUUUAAAUUUUUUUUUAUAGAAAUUUACAUAAUUUCAAAUUCUUCACUUUUUAUGAGGAGAAGAAAAUGAGAAAAAAAAAAAAAAAAAUUCACAAAACAUAUUAAAAAUUUUAAUUAGGAUGAAGACUAUUAAAAAAAUAAAAAUUCCUAGGUAUUAAAAUAAGACCUUUAACCAACAUACCAAUAUUCUUUAAUAACAAAAAAGAUUGACAUCUAAUAUUUAGGUUAUAUUUGGUUUUUGAAAAUUUUGGGAAAAUAUAAAGGAAAGAAAAAGUAAAAAAGUAAAAUAAAAAAUAGAUUAAAAAUCAAUAAACUAUUUUAAAAUAUUUUUUCAAACUCAUUUAACUUAUUUUUCUCUAUUAUAUAAAGAUUAAAUAAAUUUAAAAUACAUAAAAUUUUAAUUAAUUUUAAUUAUAUUUGAUUUUCUUUUAUAUUUUCAAUAAUGAAACCAAAUAUUAGAAACUAUUUUUUUUAGUAUUUUUUUUUUCUUUCCUUAAUGCUUUCCGGAAACCAAACUUAACAUUAAGGAUUGGGUUUCGAAAACCAAACAUUGCAUUAAGGAUUGGGUUUCGGGAACCAAAUAUAGCAUUAAGGAUUGGGUUAUAGUGUGGAAUAGUAUAUUUUAGUAUUAUAUUUAUACCUUUAUUUGAAUGAAAUAAUGAGUAACAUAUUUUUUUUCCACUUAUAAAUAUCAAAAUUUUUCUAUAAUUGUUAAAAAAUCACAAAAAAGAAAAAAUUAUUAUUAUUUUUGUCAUAUUACAAUAAAACAUGUUUUUAUUUUAUUUUAUUUUUAAAAAUAAAUUUAAUAUUUAUUAUCUAUAAAAGGAAAAAUAUAGUUAAAAAAUAUUGAUGUGUACUUUUUUGGAGAUAAUAAAUAGCCCAACCCUCACCAACAAUUAGGAAAAAUCCACCUAACCACUCAGCCUAGAUCUUAGAAGAUGUGGCCCCUUCCAGAGACGAGUCUUGGCUGGGUACGAAAAGGGGAGAUAUGGUGCCCAUCCCUGACCAAAGGUGUCACUGUUUUCCAAUGGAUGGCAAAGAUGUUGCCAGCAUCCAUUCAGUUGCAGAUGAUUAGAUAAUACAAAUACAUGAUAAAAAGUGUCACAAAUCUCAUCUCUCAUGACUCAUGUGGCAUGGCUGAGAUUCCUAGGACAAAAACCCCCAUACCCAAGCUCUUUGUUGACCCUUUGAAGUGUUCCUCUUGAACCCCUUCUGAAUUGAGGAAAAAAGUGUCAAAUUUUUCUGGGUUUGGUGCAGAACUUGCAAAUGGCUUUGCCCGUGGCUUCUUCUGGGUGUGUUGGAGUCAACUCCAGUCAUAGCAGUCUCAAGGCCCUUGAAAACCCUCUGCUUUGCAUCUGUAGAGUCUCCUUUGGAUGGGAUUUCCAUCCUCCUUGUGUUCCUCUUAAGGGAAGGUAUGCUAAUUUUUUUGGGCUCUUUUCUGGGUUUUCUUUUUGAUGUAAUGCUCAGUUUUGAAGUGUAGUUUCCUCCAUUUUCUGGGUAUUUAUUGUUUCCCUUUUUAAUUGGGGUUUGGGUAUUUACUGUUCUGGUUUAACGACUUGGAUUAUAUUGAGGAUGGGUUCAUAAUUUAUAGCACUAUUGUCAUCAUGUUGAUGAGAUCUUGUGUGUUUCUAUAUUUGGCUAGUGGAUUUUGGUAAAAAACUGAUAUAAAUGCUGGAAAAGAUUAAUAACACACCGAUGUUUCUUUUUUCUUGUAUGGGUUAUGAUCUAAUUGGAAGUAUGAUACUCAGUAGGAUUAAAGUUUACAAUUAUAGACCAUUUUUGUGAUUUUUUGAUGAAUUGAUGCAAUAGAUAUUGAUGGAUGCACGUAUUUCAAGAGAUGGAAUCAAUGGGUGCUAUGUCUUUGCCUCCCUGAGCCUUGGUGUUUUUCAUGAACUUGACUGUAAACUGCCUUGUGCUCCAUUAUUGAAAAAUGCUUGCCUUUUCAUAUCAUAUCCCUUGUCCUAAAUUUGACUUUGGAAAGCCAGAAAAUUGCAGUCAGCUGAGAAUAGUGGCUGACUGCCUUUGGUAGAUACUGUGUUUUGGAGAUUCCUAAAGCUGAAUGGCAAGCCCAAUGAAUAAUAUGAUACUGUCAGUUUCUUUUUGGUGUUUAUUUGUGGAUAUAGACGUAAAUGUAGAGAAUGGGUUUGUGUUGCUCAUCUAUUGACUUUUUGUGAUUGAUGGUUCCGAGGGUGAAACAGAGUUUGAAAAAUGGCAUAUUGUUAGAAUAGUAAAUUUUUGUUGGAUGUUAUUGGUCCAUGAAUCUGGUUCAUCUAGGUAUCAAGAAUAUCUUAUAAAUGUGUUGAUGCUACAUUUAAUAGUUCUUAUUUAAGUUGCAUCUAAAAAAUAUUUAUGAUUCUUUAAUAUAAGAAAAGACGGAUGGUUAUUGUUUGCUUGUUUGAGCAUAUGCUAUUUCAUUCUGUAGAUGUAAAUAUGAUCCUUGGAAUCAAAUCAAUAUGAAAUAAAAAUUACUACGGUAUCCCCCAAAUGGGUUUUGGCAUACUUGGAUACAACUAUAGGCUAGCUCUCUUUUGUUGAUUGGAUAAUUUUGGUUUAUGUGCAUUUGUUCCAUUUGGCAUUGAGAAUGUGUAAUAUGUCUAAGUACCUUACUCUUAAGUCAUUUCCCUUACUAAAGUAUGUGUGGUUUGCUUUCAGGCUGUCCUCUUCCGUGUCUACAAUCACUCCAAGGGCAUCAUCGGCAACAGCUUUGAAGGUAUCAAAUGAUGCCAAUUUAUGUUAUGGGUUGUCGUUGAGUGUCAAAUUCUUCUUAUUUCUUUUUGUCUUUGGUUGUUGGACUGGUGGAACAGGAUGGGAAACCAGAUGGAAAUUAUGAUGAUACUGAUGCAAUUCCCACUCCCAAAGUUAUAAUAGAUCAAGACUCGGAUCCAAAUGCAACUAUUGUGGAGAUAACUUUUGGUGAUCGCUUGGGAGCGCUUCUCGACACUGUAUAAUAACUUUUACAUUUCUGGAUCAGAUAUUUUUGUUUGUCUAAUUUUUUGCUUCUGCCAUUUUAUUGACUCAUACCCAGAAAAGGAAAUUAUUGGUUCUGUGAGUUCCUUUGUCUUUGGCUCAGUUUGAGUACCUUUAUCUUUCUACAAUAGGAUUUCUGAUACAUCAUCUAGCUUUUUUAAAUUGCUUGCAGAUGAAUGCACUUAAAAAUCUAGGGCUGAAUGUUGUUAAAGCAAAUGUCUUUUUGGAUUCUUCGGGAAAGCACAACACAUUUGCCAUCACCAAAGCGUAAGUCCGUGGAGUAGAAUUUAGAUGCAUUUUUGCUUCAAUUCCCAUAUCUAUCAAUUCUUUUCUUUCAUUCCACCUUGUUACUGAUAUCUCCCAAUUUUGUUGCUAAUGACCAUUUUUUUGUUUUACCUAUUUUUCUGCAUUAUAGAUAUGCUUGUUAAGUUCUCUAGCAUCUAUUUUUCUCUGUUACUGGAAUACUGCCAUUUUUAAGGAAUUUUCUUCUUGACUCUCCUUAAAAGAUACGAUAUUAAUUUUUAACGAGUUAAGUACAUUUCAUUUUACUCGGAAGUUUAGACCUCUGUCAUUCUCAAACCUAAACCUCUAUUAGCUUAUCUUAAAACUGAAUUUCCUUAGGCUGGAGAUACUUGAAUGCAUUAACUAGACUCUUAAACUAUAAAAGCACCUCAAAGCAUAGUGAUAUACUUCUAUUGAUGAUAACAAAAAUGUGGUAUUUUCUGGAAUUUACAUUGCAAAUGUGUUUUUCAUAACACAAUAUGCCUCCAUAGUUGAAUGCCAAAGUUUUUAAAAGCAUUUCAGAUCAAUUCAUGUAAUGUUUGUUUUCCAAUGGUUCUAGUCGAUUUAGACCUGGUCCUUGUUCCCUGAAAUGACUUUGCAAAAAGAAUUUCUGAAAAUAUGAUUUACCUUCAUAUUUUGGACAUUGUUUUUUCACAAGCAUUUUAAAUGAGGUUGUGCGAUUGAUGUUUUCUGUUGAUUCUGGUCAAUUUAGUGCUGGUCGUUGUUUGCAGUGAUACUGGUAGAAAAGUUGAGGAUCCUGAGUUGCUUGAGGCAAUUCGUUUGACGAUUAUAAACAAUAUGCUUCAGUAUCACCCGGUAUUCCUUUGUAAAUAUUUGUUUCUUGGCUUGACAUGCCCCUUGAUAGAGAUCUCUUGUAAGAUUUGCUCUCUUUUUAAGUUUCUUAAAUUUUCUGAAUUUGUGGUCCAGGAAUCAAGCGAGCAGUUAGCUAUGGGAGUAGCCUUUGGAAUUACGCCACCAAAACAACAGGUUCUGAUUUUAUUUUUCAUUCGUAAAAAUUUUACUUACCACAAUGGUGGACCAUUAUUGUUGUAAGACAACACUUCACCCAGAAUAAUCAUAUUAUGAUGUUUAGCCAUCAGUUGAGAUGUAUGCUAUCAUGUGUGUGAUAUAAGCCACUAGCACUUGGUAAUGAAUGCUGCUUUCUUGGCACACACGUCUGCUCAAGCACUUGCACUUAUGUGUGUGGUGCUCUGAUGAUUGUUAUAGUCUGUGAACUUCAUCUCGCAAAGCUUGCAUUCCCAGCCAUGGGUAUGGUGGUUAAAACAUCCCUAUUGAGGGGCUUGGCUCCAUUGUCUUCUCUAUUGGGGGUGGUAGGCUUUGAAAUUUAUUGGUAAUAAGAGAUAUAAGAGAAUAUUUCUCUGUCAAUCAGUUUCUGCCUUCCAUUUACAUGUACAUGAUUUAUAAUGGAUCGAUUCGAUAUCCAUCAAAGAUAAUAUGUCAGAUUCCCAAUAGUGACCUUGAUUUGAGAAUACACUGAUUGCUAUUUCUUUAUUCUGUAAUUUACAAUAUAUGUUCCAAUUAUCAAGGGAGUGUGUGAAAAAGGGAUCUCCCUAUUGGAUUUUGUUUUGCUUUUUAGAGAUGAACUUUUCACUCUUUAUUAUGCAUCCCAAGUGGACAGCAAUCACAUAUCCACUCAGACUUGCACUUCGUUGCUGAUGCAAACAUUUUCUUUCCCUUUAAAGAUGGCAUUUACUUAUCCAUGUACUUCUUCUGUUGUGUUUGGCUUCAUCAGGUUGAUGUGGACAUAGCGACCCACAUAAGUGUUAAUGAUGAUGGUCCUGACCGAAGGUAAUGCUUGUUUUGUUAUAUUUCGCAAUCUGAUGGGACUUGUGUUUUGGUUUAUUUCUCAAUAUGAUGGGACUCUUGCCACCUAAUCAGUGCCCCACAUUUGAAAAUAAUUGUUGAGGUUGAAGCCCCACAUGACACUACCCUCCUAAUGUUGUGGGGCAAUGCCUUGAUCAGCAGGCAAAUAGUAACUUAGUUCUUAUCCUUGUUGCAGCUUGCUUUAUGUGGAAACUGCAGAUCGCCCUGGAUUACUGGUGGAUCUCGUAAAGAGCAUCACUGACAUUAACAUAGAUGUUGAAUCAGGAGAGUUUGACACUGAGGUAAUAGUCACUUUGUACGUGCUGCAAUUUUCAGGUCUUUAAAGGAGGAUAGCCCAAAUUUACUAAUUUGUCAUCAAAUUUUUGUUUCCACUUCUAGGGUUUGUUGGCCAAGGCAAAGUUUCAUGUCAGCUACCGCGGAAAAGCCAUCAUCAAGCCUCUCCAACAGGUAAAAUUAGCAAUCAGAGGGGGAUUCAAACUGUCUUCCAAGGCCAAAAAACAGCCUUGCUAGUCUAAUAGUUAUGAUUGAAGACUAAAACUAGUUAAGAUGGUUAAAGAAAAUACAAUAUAACAGAGUUGAGUUUGGUAGUCGAGCUGAGCUGAGGGUUGGUUUUGUUUAGGAACAUUCAUCUCCAUGUUGCAGAAUUUUAACACUACCAAACUUGGCAGGUUCUUGGUAAUAGUUUACGGUAUUUCUUGAGGCGACCAUCAACAGAGGAGGCAAGUUUUUGAGCCAUUCUAGACGAAAUCACCUUCAAGACUGAUUACAACUAACUCAUUCCAAGGAUCAUGUGAUUGUUGUAGUCAUUGCCCAUUUUUAAGUAUAUGUGGAGAACUCUACAAUAAGAAUCUUCUUAUAAAAUAAUAACUAUGUAGACUGUUGAUUCAAUAUGAGUGCAGGCCUCGAUGAUUAUGGUUCAUCUGUGUUUUUCUUUCAAAUUAAUAUACAAAACAAGGAUCAUCUACGAGAAGUACACAUGCUGCUAGUAUACAUGCUGCUAGUGUACAUGCUGUGUUGGUUGAAUCAAUCUUUGUACAGAUUAGCUGGUGGCGAUGAUCAGAAAAGCGACAGAAACAUACAUGAGGAGGAGAGGGUAAAGGGCGAGUGCCUUUCUCUUCUGGGUGACAGCAGAACUGAUGAAUGGAUAGGCAGCCCAAGAGCUCCAGAACAUGGUAACAAACACGGCAAUCAUCCUUGCUAUGAAAUGGCCUUUGAACAGGCAAAUCAGGGCUCCUAUGUCCAGAGGAAACAGGCAGUAGCCCAGAAGGCUGAGGCUUUGGAAGAAGAUUAUUUUCCCUCCCUGUUAUUUACAAGAAUGAAGGUUACAUAUCUUUUGUGUAUGCUUUUCUUCUCAAAACAAAUGGUGAAAGCUCGGGUCUGCGAAAAUAUGAAAAUCUACAUACCAGGAGGAGGACGUUCAAUGUAAGAACGAUUGCACCGAUUCCAAGCAGUGCAAAUGAAACAGCAAAAAUUUCGGACUGGAAAAUAAACGACAUAGGUGGUCAGAAUCUCACUCAAGAUUCGCCAUUUCUGAAGGUAUGGUACUCACCUUUUUGAUGGAUGCAGACCAGGACAAGGUGAGACCGAGGAAGAUGACAAAGAAGAACGGCCCCCAGAGGUCCCAAUCCCUCAAGGCCUUCCCGGGGUCUUCACGGUGAGGAUUAGGGAACAAAACAAGCUUCAAAUUGCUCAGAAUUCGCGAUAAGUCCCUCUGUACGGUUUCCCAGACCGGCUCGGUUAAGGUUGGUGCAACAAUGUUGUGACCAGGUGGAAUGACAACCGGGCUAGGGCUGGGUGUUGGAGACUUAGCGUUGGAUGAAGCAAAAGGCAGCGAUGAAUAGGGGAAUGGCGGUGUUCGUGGACUAGACCGCCUCGUUGGUUCCAGAACCGCCUGUCCAACUUGACCGGCGCCAUGGAAAGGGUUCUCAAAGUUGUUUUCCAUGAUACAUGGAGGAUAAGAAGAUACAGUUUUCUGGGAAAAUCAAAGUAUAUAUGGAUUAUUUUAUGUCAGAACCCUAAAAGAAAUAAGAAAGUAAAUGGGAAAAAUAAUAAGAAUGGGGAAGAUUGAAUCAUUGAUGAUGAAUGGCGGCCAUGAGAAAAUAGAGGAGGAAGGAGGGAAGGGGAUAAGAGAAAGAUGGACGCAAAGGGGGUGGAGAAGACUUGGCUUAAUUAGUAUUCAUGCAUGGAUUCAUGGAAAAGAGUGAUUGGAAGCCCAAUUUUCGGACGUAUACCCUCUUUUCUUCUCUUUUCAUUUUUCACCACAUAUCCAAAUUUUCUUUCUUUUAAAAGGGCAAGUAAUUUUUUUAAAAAGAGAAUAUAUAUAUAUGCAAAAUCUUAAUUCUAUUUCUUCUCCAUUUUUUUUCUUUUUUUUUCUUUUUUUCCUGAUCAUUUUCUUCAGAGGUAAACAAAGAGGGUAUUUUGAUAAUUUCAUACAUAGAGUUUAUUUUUAAAAAACGAAAAAUUGAAAGAUUGAAUGGAUGCAUUUAGAUUUCUCUUUAUAUGAAAUUGGGAACAAUCUUAAUAUGUCCUACAAAAAGACAGAAAUGCCUUCAAACACUUCAAUGUUUUCACUUUGGAUGGAAGUGGUCUUUUAAAUAAACACUUCAAGAAAUCUUUAAAUCUUAAAAAAAUCUUUGAGACUCUAUUAAAAAAUUAUUUUUGAAAACAAUGGUUGAAAAUUGUUUUUUAAUGUUUUAUAAAACAAAAGAUUGUUUUUAUAGAACAAAAAAAUGUUUGGGAUUUGAAAUGAUCUUGACUUGUUUUCUAUGCCUUUAAAUAUGUUUUAAUUUAUAUAUAUAUAUAUAUAUAUAUAUAUAUAUAUAUAUAUAUAUAUAAUGUUUUAUUUAUAAUCAUCUUCCAUGCUCAUAUAAUUAUUUUUUAAAACAAUUGUAAGAAAACAUAAAAACAACUAUAAAAUGUUCUCUAAAAAUACUACAUUUUUUGUAAAAGAAAAAAAAUGAAAUAGUCUUCUAAUUACUAGAAUAGAAAAUUAUUUCCAAAUAGAAAAAUUAUUUUGAAAAAAUAGUUGCUAACCAAGCUCAAGUCUUCAAGAAAUUUGUCAAAUUCUUCUUUACUCUUCAAAUUGGCAUAUGAAAAGAGAGGAGAAUUCCAUUUAUAGGGUCAAAAAAUUUGUUUUGAUAUCAUCUCGUAACUUUCUAGAGAUUGAUUAUUUUUAUGACAAUAAUUAUCAUUAUUUUAAUUACCAUGAAUUAUUUAAUCAUGAUAAUUAUAUUAUUUACUAUUUUAAUAAUCAAAAUUAAUUAAUUAAUUUAUUAUUAUGAUUUUUAAUUUAUCACAAGAUUAUUUUUUCUUUUAUAUGGGAACCUUUUGAUAUGUGUCAUGGAAAAAAACAAACAUGAUAAAUGUCAAAAUUUAAUAUAUCUUAUAAUAUAAUAUGUGAUAUUGUUGUAUUUAAAGUCAUUAAUGUCAUAUGAUGUAACGACUCGCUCUCAAUCAUGUAAAUAUUGUUCACUUUAGAUCCAAAGAGACUCUCACGGCUUUAAAACGUAUCUAUAAGAUUAGGAGGAGUCCAUACUUAUAUAGCACCAUAAACUUUCUCCUCUAUCCGAUGUGAGAUGUCACAAACACCCUCCCCCAUGCAGAUAUAAUGUCCUCGUUGUGUCCCAUGGGAUUACAGUGCUUUUAGCUCAAAAAAUGUUUUUGAAAAAAAAUAGAUAUUUGCCAAAUUUUAGAAUUUUUUUAAAAAAAUAUAAAAUAUCACUUGUAGUGUCGAAAAUUUACUUAUAGUGUUUUUUUGGAGAAACACUUUAUAUGUGAUUCUCUUAAAAACACUUUCAGAGGAGAUAAUUUCACUAAAAACAUUUCUAGCAGAAACUGCUAAACACACUCUAAGCCUAUAAAUACCACAUCACUCUUCUUUAUUUUUCAUAAAUUAUUUAAUAAUUUCUUUCUUGAAACUUUACAAAUUUUGAAUUGGGACAUUUUCAAAUAGCGUUUUUUCUUUGGAGGUUUAUAUUUGCUUUUUUCUUUUUUCUCCUUUAGUUUUUAAUUUUUUAUUUAUAUUUAUUUCUUCACUUAUUGCUUUAUUCUUGAUCAUCAUUUUAUUUUGGAAUAAAUUAGCUUUGCUUGGUGUUGCCUCGGUGGGUAUGUGCCUAAGGAAGCUAAAUUAUCAAUAUUAAAUAAGAUUUUCAGUAACAAGGUAGAACAGAGACACUUGCAAACUAAAUCCAAAUAAAAUAUGCAGAUAUGGUAUUUCACUAAAAUAAAAAUUCUACACCAUCCUUAACAAGUCUAGAAGACAUUCCAAUUGACCAAAUAAAUUAGUCAUGUCUUGUUUAAUACCAAAAUUAAAAUAAAUUAGCAUCAUUCCACAUAACAUUCAACAUAGGUUAGAACAAAGACACUUGUAAAAUAAAUCCUAUAAAAAAAUAAAAAAAAUCUAGAAAUAGAAUUUCACCAUAAAAAAAAAUUGGACAACAUCUCCUAUGUGUCUAAAUUACAACCCAAAAUGCCAAAUCAUUAAAUAGUAUCCUAUUUAAUACCAUAUUUAAUUAUAAGCACAUUGGUAAGAAAUAAGGCAAAUUUCAAUUGCAUAUCAAAAUGGAUUUAUUUGACUAACCUAAAAACAUGAUAAAAUCAAGGAAAAAAUGUUCAAUACAUUUAACAUGUUCAUAUUACAAGAAAAAUAGAAGCAUGAUUAAAUCACAUAGAAAUUUUUUAAAUUAAGCCAAACAACCCCUACUACAAAACAAGGUCAGUGCAAUAGGUGUAAGAAAAAGUGUUUUUUUUUUCUUCCACUUAAGGAAUUGACUUUCAAUGAAACAUGGUCCUAAAAUUAACUUUGAGAAGUGUAGAUUAAGGAAAAAGUAUUGGAAAAAAAUUAAAGGAGUUGAAAAAUAAUUGAUUUUUGCAAAAUCAAUUCGAGUAUCCAAAAUAGGGUUAAAACUAAACCUGUGUAAAAACUAAUUUAAAUCUCUUCAUUAAAAAAAAAGAUUUUGAACCCAAAUUAAAUUUAAUUAAUAAAUUUAAAAGGUUAUGAAUAUGUUCCAAGCAUGAAAAUAAUUUUAUAAAAACCAUAAGUUAUUUAGUUUCAAUUUUUCAAGUCAGUAGACUUUUGAAAAGUUGAAUGUAUGUAGGCCUCAUCAAGCCCCUAUUUAUUAUACAUGAAUUAAAUUUAUGCAUCCUUAACGUCAUAUGAAUAUUAGUAAGCUCAUUGAGGCAAAGAAUCAUUUCAGUUUGUUUGGAGCCAUGAACUUGGAUUAAUAUGUACAAAAAUAAGAAAAAAAAAUGAAUAUCAUUAAGAAAAAUGCAUACCAAUUGAAACAUAUUGACAUAUAUUUUUAAAAAGAUUUUUUUUUUUUUUUUUUUUUUGUUUUUUACAACUUAGAGAUGCCAAAAGAUGAGUUAAAAAUGGAUUGUGAGUCAAUUAUAAUUGGAAAAAAAAAUUUAAAAAGCAAGUUUAAAAAAAAUAAUCACAAAGGUCACACGAAAUUACAAAAACAAGAGUAAGAAUACAACUAAGGAAGAAAGUGUGUGUGUGCGUGUGCACUAAAAUGAAGUGAUAAACUUUAGUGUGUGCUGAAAAUCAGUGAGUGAAAGUGUAAGUGUAAUGAGGUGAAUCACAAACAUUAAUUUACCUAAAGAGAAAAAUUGAAAUAGGAAUGAACCAAAACAAAUAUCAAAUUCAUACAAAGCCAAUUAUCAUGAUAUUUUUUUUUUCGAAUGGCUUGAACCAAGUGAGAAUAAAUAACUAAAAAAAAAAAAAAAUAGAAGGAAGAAUUGAUCCUAAAUGUAAUUUCAAUCAUACAUCAAACAACAUAUAAUAUCAAUAAUCUUCAUGCAAUCACAAACAAUUUAUAAGCAGAUAUUAAUAUGUAAUCAUCAACAAUUAUCUAACAAUCAAUAACAUAUAGUUAUUAACCAUCAACAAGCAAUCAACAAUCAUGGAAUUAUCAAAAUUCUCAAGCAUUGAACAACAAACAAUUUUCAUCAACUCAUAAACAUUCAACAAUAUGUAAUUAUAAAAAAUUCUCAAAUUACAACAUCAAGUAAUUUUAAAAAAUUCCUAACAAUCUUUAUGACCUAUGCAUCCACACCAAUCAAAUAGAAUUCCUAUAUCUAAGUAAGAUGAAUGGAGAAGAAAAAGAUGGAGAGAUGAUCAUAAUCAAGAUGUAGAGAGAAUUGAAGAACAUACCUUUCCUCUAGAAAAGAUAAAACUUGAUUUCUUCUUGCUUUUUUUAAGACUUCUUUUUUCUUCACUCUCAAUUAGUGGCAACCUUAGGUCCCUUUCUCAAGGUUGUUAACUUAUAAAUUGUGAACAUAGAAGAGUCCCAUCUCCUUUAAAAACUCUAAUAUCAUAUAUCCAAAUGAUAGUUGUGUAUCUCAAGUGGCAACCCCUCCUUUAAUGGCCUAAUCCCUUAAAAAAAAAAAAAAAAAAAUCCCAAUUUGUGAGUUUCCUAUCUAAUUUCCCCACUCCAAGGUUGUGGACACUUCCAAUUUCGAUAUGGUGUGAAUCAAAAUCCCCUCCUCAAUCUUCAAAAACUCCUUAAAGAAGAAUCCUACUCUAUCCAAAUCCCUUUUUCCAUAAUCAAUAUCUUUUCUUUCCUUAUGAGCAGUUGUGGACCAAGAGAGUCCUAUCAAAAUCCAAGUCAAUAUGGUGUAUUCCAAUCUCUAUGCCCAUCAUCCUCUCUAAGAGUCCUAACCUUCCUAAAAUUCCAUGUCAUGUAUGCCUUCCAUAUCUCAAUCUCAUUUUUCCUUUAAUGUAGCGUGAAUUCCCUUUCCAAUAAGAAUCUUCUCCUCAAAAUUCUAUGGCAACUGUGAGUAUCCAAAGAAUCCUUCCUUUAUGAAAAUCUCUAAAACUGUGGAUGUUCCUAUCUCCAUAAUGUUAGCCAUGUCUCUCCUAUAGGGAUGACUUGUCUUGGCCAUCAAGAUGGGUUUCCCAUAGUGAGUGCACUAGUGUAUGUGAUGCACACUAGACAGAACCUAUGGUGAAUCAUGAUGCAAGGUUAGCAAUUUUCAUGAUUCACCAAGCUACUAUAUUACAUAGACUCUCAACUUUGAAAUGAUAUUUAGUAUGUGCAAAAAUCAAUAGGAGGCUUUAACCUAUGGGUGAAAUCCCAAAGUUGUCAUAUAUCCUUAUUGAUUGGGUUACUAUAGAUGGAGAUUGGUGGCAAUAGGUAUUCUCAAUAGAAGCACCAUGACAUCUCAUGGAUUGAGACAGUGUGUCCCCUUGAGUGAUCCAAAGGACAUGUGAUCAUAAAUUUGUGGUCGUAGUAAUUCCAUUGGUGAAAUUUGACAUAUGCUCAUUAGAGCUACAAUAUGUUAAUUGAUUACAUAAUAAGUGGAAUCUAUAACUCAAGGAUUUAAGAGGUAAUCUUGAUAGGUGAUAGUACUGCCUUGUUAGAUUACGAACAUUAGUUCAUGGAGAGUCUGCAUGCAGUGGAUAGUAGGUCACGGACCCGAGUUUCAUCUCGUUGUUAUUUACAUAAGAUACUGGAGUGUAGUUGAUUCUCUUUAGUGGAAUGUUGAAUCAAAUUUAGAAUUGGAUUUUGAGGGAGUCAGUACUUCUAUGAGUUUCAGUGGUCUCUAUUCUAAACUCAUAUAUUAUGAUGACACAAUUUAUGAAAGUUGGAUUGGCUCUAGGUUCACUAUUUUGCAUAAGGGUGUUUUGGUAAUUACGCAAGGUUGCACAAGGCAUAGUUAACAAGGUCUCUAGAUUAGACUAAUUGAUUAAUUAGAUGGUUCUAUAUAGUUAAUUAAUCAAUUAAGACCCAUGACCUAAGCCUUGGUGAGCUCAAGUCAUUUAACUCCAAUAGGGGAACCCUAUAAAUACCUCCUUAGGGAUUAGGAUUUCUAUCACUUUUUGGUUAGGGUCAUCUUCCACCUCUAGAGAGAGAGAGAGAAUCAUAUCUUCCUUCCUUUCAAUGCCUACACUUUAGAGUGUCAAGAUCCUGGUUUGAGUCAUUGAACUAAAGAUAUUGGGUGUACAAGACCUUUAGACCAUUCAGACAUGUUUUUCACCACAAUGAAUUGAUCUGUGAACAUCCAGAUCUAGGUAUGAGUACUAUAUCUUUAGAUCUAUAAUUAAUAAAGGUUUUUAUUUUCAUUUUAUUCUGAUGCGAUAGUUUAGAGAUGCUUAGGGAUAGAUGUAUGCACCCUACGAGAUCCAGGGUAUGGGAACGGAGUAAUCUGGGGUUCCCAACACCUUUUCAAUGAGGAGAUGGUUUUCAUAGUAUAGCAUGAGGGUUUAUUCACAACAUUUGAGUUUUUUUAGAGGAAGUAGGAGUCUCUUUAGGAGGGGACAACAUUGGAAACUUAGGAUGGAAGUAAUCCUUUUUAGAAGAUUAAAAACAUGGAGAAAUUUUAAGAAAGGAAAACUUUCAUCUAUCUAUGAAAAAUGGAAACUUCAGAAAAGAUAGAACUCUUUUUGGAGGAGAUAGAGAUUAGAGAUUAAGGAAGACAUGGUUACCUUAUUGAGGAGGAUUCUCUAGUGUACACGGCAUGGGAAGGCUUGAGUUUUUGGAAAGAUGUAAGAUUCUUCAAAGAUGUAGAUUGGUUUUAGAGAUUGAGGAAGACUCUUAGCGAUGGACAUGACAUUAAAGAUUUUUUUGGAUUAGGAAGACUCUUUGAAAUUUGACUUACGACAUUGUAUUAGGAGAUAGUGCACUAUAGUCUUUACCAAAUUGCUCAAAUUCAUGAACUGAUUAUAGACAACUUAUCUAUUGACAAGGAAUUGAUGACUUGUAUCUUUUGUGCAACUCCUAAUAUAUCCAAGUCAUGUACAAUGCAAGAAAUAUGAGUUGAAUGCUCAAAUUAAUGUCAAUGCAUAAAAGGGAUAACAAGGGGAUAGUUAAAUCUGACUUUGUUAUAUCAUGUCUUGCUUUUAGGUGCUCAAUCAAACAAGAGGAUCCUCAUCAAUCUCUAAAAACCAAUCUAGGUAUCUCUACUUUCCAAUCUCCUUCCCCUCAUCAAAAUAGUCUUUUUAUUUAUUUUUAUUUUUAAAAUCUCUAAUAUUGUGUGAAUCCACUUCCAAAGAGAGUUUUAUCUCCUCUAAAAUCUAAAAACCCUUGUUGUUUACAAAAGGGAAUCUUCCAAAAGGGAGUCUCUCAAUCUCCAACUCAAAAUGGCAUGAAUGCCCUCCAAAGAGAGUCUUCUCUUAACCAAAAUCUCAAUGUUGAUCUGUAUACCAAAGAGAAGCCCUUCUAUCCUUAAAAGUCUCAUUUUUUCUUCCGCAAACAAAGCUCCAUGCAUAAGCCAUGCAAAGUGAUAUAAAAUACUAUCCUUAAAUGCACUGAAAUGGAAAUAAUUGAGAAUGCAUCUAGAUGAACUAUCCUAAAGUGCAGCUAACUAAAAUGCAACUAAAAAAUUUCCUAAAAUGCAACUAUGUGAGUUAGGCUAACUAAACUAAAUCUAAAAUGCAACCAAGUGAGCUAAACCUAAAAUGCAACUAAGUUAACUAAGUUAAUAUGCCAUUAGGAGAGCUAAGCUAAGGUGCCACUAAGUGAGCUAGACUUAAAAUGUAACUAAGUGAGCUAUGUUAGGGUGCCACUAAGGCCACAUUUGGGAUCUAUAAAAAAAUUCAUCGACAAUGAAUCUUCAAAGGUGGCUCAAAAACAGUAUCAAAUGAGUGACAAUGGACUACCAUGAAAUGACUAUAAGGUAACAAGAAGUGAAGGAAACCACAUAGAAUAAUAUGUGCUACUUCUAAAUCUAAUUAUAUAUAUUUUUUUAUUUGAAAAAAAAAAAAAAAAAAAAGAUUGCAAAAACUAAAGCCAUUAAAAAAGAAAAAAAAAAAACUUACCUCUAAAUCUACGAAAUUUCUUGAACCAAAGAAGAGUCAUUUCCCUUGAUUGUGUCAGGCUUUCUUUUCCCUCUAAGUGUGCUAGGGUCUACAACAAGUGGGGUUUCCAAAUAGGAAUUUCCUUAUUGGGCUUCUAUAAUGAAAAUUAUUUUUUCAUUAUAAAUGUCACAUAUAGUUAAAUAACUAACCCAGUAUUUAUAUAUAUAUAUAUAUAUAUAUAUAUAUAUUGUUAUAUGGAUUUAAAAUAUUUUAUAAGUAAAACAUUAAAUAAAAUAAAAAAACUAGUAUAAAAUUUAAAUUUUGUUUUACUUAUAAUUAAAAUUUUUAAAAAUUCAACUUGAAAAGUUAAAUCAACUAAAAAUGAUUUCAAAAUAAUAUAUUUAUAAAUUUUAAAUUUAAAAUAGAUGAAACAUGUUAUAAUCACAUGAAUAAUGUGUGUUAAUGGGUUAUUUGUGUCAAUUUAUAUACAAUUUAACUUAACCCAUUUAUUAAACAAAUUAUGGGAUGAAUCAUAUUAUCUAUAUAAUUCACAAGCCAUAUUUGUGUCAAGUCAUUCGGACACAACUAUUAUAUUGGUUGUAUUCAAGUUCAAUAAAUUUUCACUAUUUCUUGUCUUAAGAUGACACAACAUGACCCAUUACCAACCCUAGGAUGCCUAUAACUAUAAAAUUGUCAACAAUAUUUUUUAUCUUUUCAAAAAUAAUUUGACAUUGUUGAAGGGUACUUUUUCUUGAUUAAUUGAAGUUGGCAAUACAGUUGCAACACUCUCUUGCCUUUGAUUGAAAGCAAAAGGUUUCUCCAAGGUGAUCCACACCUCUAAACUUAUGGAACAACUUAUCAUCUCAACAAGUAGUCCUUAAGAUAUUGAAGAUGAUAAACAACUUAUUACAGGUUGAUCUUAUUGAUGCCAUAAUUUAUAUUCUUGAUUUGUGAUUUUGCAUGAAUGAGAAGAGCCUAGAAUACAUCAAUAAACUAUGAAGAACAUUUUAUUGUACCAUUGGUAAAUCCAUAUAGAUUUUAUCCUUGAAUUGCCAAUAGAUCUUGGGAUUUCUAGAUCAAAUAACUACUUUGACCUAGCUUGUUAGGUAAAGAUUGGUUGAACAUACUAGAGAAGGGAAAUGCAAAAUUCAUCAUUUGUUGAUUGUAGAUUAAUAAACUUAAGGUUGACAUAUUUGUAGUUUUGUGAGAGCUUUUAUGGCUUUGGUACCAUGACAAGUCUCUAAUGAGAAAUUUUUUUUUCUCCUUUUCCAUCUAUCCAAUCUUUAUAUUGAGAAGUUUCUAAGAACUUUUCUUCUCCAUAUUAAACACAUUAGUUUCUAACUAAUUUCCCAUUUUAAAAGAAGUUUUUUUCAUUUGAAUUUUUUUUAAAUACCUAGCCUUCGAUGUUUCACCAUUUAUUCCCCAACAUUGUGUGGGCGUUUUUUUUUUUGGCAAUUAUAUGUGGAUUUACUAAUGUAGUAACUUAGGUUUCUUCAUUCUCUGCUCUGAACAUCAUGAAUUUUCCAUUUGUUUGUUUGUUUGUUUUUUUUUUUUUUUACAUUAAAUGAGUUUCUCCUUUCAUUCCUCAUCUAUGCCUACACCAAAAUAGCAUUUUAGGUUUCUCCAUAUAUUCCUUUCAUAAUGUGAGUUUCUCCAUUUUGUUUGUUAUCUUCUUGUUAGGGGUGACUGAAACAUAAUAUUUGGAUUCUCAAUUUUGCUUUUUGGGCCUUAACAAGAAGAAGGAAAUUCCUAUCCUCUCAUUUUUUACUGAGAUAAAGAAAAGGAAAAAUAUUGAGAUAAAGCAUGAAUUCUUAUUGUUAAUAAACUAGGGAAACAACAACGAUGAUAAGUGAUAACAAUAGCUUGUUCAAAGUUUCAAGCAAUGUAAUACAUUGGAUCAGGCAACUUAAAAGUCCUAUUCCCUGUAUUAGUUCCCAAGAUAUCACUCCAUUGAUCACCCAUGUUUCCAACUAUUUUGUAUCCACUCUCCUCAACCUUUUUCCUUUGAUUUGAUUUGUACACAAGUGCUGUGCUUCCAUCAGAUGAUUUCCUACAACAAGAACAACAAUAAAAAAAAAUUAAUAAAGAAAAAUAAAAUCAUCAAAUACUAAAAUUAAUAUUUAGUAACAAAAAUGUCCAUUUCUUUACUCAUUUUCAUCUAAAAAUCAAUUCAUUGUCAUGGGGUGAAGAAAAUUGUCACACCAUCAAGGCUCCUAGCUAUCCUGAGGCUUAUAACAGGAUUUUGCUUUUUGAGCCCGACACAUAUCAACAUCAUUGAUGGGGGUUGCUACCCAAAAUGCAGGGCAUAAGGGAGUUUUACUGUUAGACCUUGAUUUUAUAUGUGAUCUCAUUUUGGACCUUGAUUUUAACUAUUUGCUUACCUGAGUAUGAGCUUCUCCCAAGUAUGGUAUCCCACCUUCUUUAAAUUGGCUACUGUGACGUUUCUCUCGUCUUCUCCUUUUCCUGUUAAGAACACAACUUUAAUCCCCAGGGACACCAGCUUGUUGUACAGCUUAAGACUUUCCGGCAACGCUGGUGCCUCCCCUUUCAUGACCCAUUCAUUGAACGACGUCUCAUUGAAGACUUCAGCCCUGAAAUUUCAAGAGAAGAUUCACGUAAAAACAUAGCACAUACAUGAAUAUUGGCCAGAAAAAUCAGGAAUAUUCAUGUUUGUAGAUGCUAAAGUUACCCAAAUCCGUUUUCAGCAUAGUAAGGCAGAUUAGAAAGAGUUGUCUCAUCUAUAUCAAACACCCAUACGUCCUUGCCAUCUCCACCCAACUUGAGGCUUUCAGCAUAAGCAAUUGCCUCAUACACCACCACUCUCGAGUCUUGCCGGUAUUGGUGGCCGAGCAUGUAAUGCCCCACAUAGCUUUCACAUGCUUGUGGAACAGUCUCCCAGUUUAUAAUGUUGUUGGUUUCCACUGCAAGUCUCCAGCUCGGGCAGGAAAGACCCGAAGCAGGGUGGACGCCGGAGGCAAGUCGUGGCCGGAGGAGGUGGAUUUCAUGGGAUAUUCCCAAGGAAAGCUCAACAGUAAGGGCAAAAAGAAAGAGCAACAGGGCCACUCUUCCCAUGUUGAAGUACUGUGGUGGUCGUGGAGAAACCACCCAAUUUACAUGAAUUUAUAUAGGCUCCAGCAAGUGAAAAUGGAGAUGGUGUUUACUUCAGCUAUCUACUGCAGUAAUGAUGAGCAUUAUCGUAAGGUGGGGUACUUCACCAUGGUGGUGGACCUUAAUCACUUAUUGUCGCACGGAAUGUAAGGCUACUUUUGAGAAUUGCUUUUAAGAAAGGUUUUUUUAGUUGUUGGGAACACAAAAAAAAUAAAUAGAUAAAUAAAUAAACAUGAAAGUAGGUUUGAUUGUCAAUUAUUCGUAGUAAAAUGUGUUUGAGAGUUGAUUUAGAUAAUAUAUUUUAAUUGUUUUUUAAUGUUUUCAAUUUAUGAGAUUGUUUAUUGAGAAAGAUUGAAAAUGAAGUAGUAUAAAUAAAAGUUAUUUUUAAGAAAUAUUAGAAACCCAUAAGACAUCGAGAACAUUCCAAAUUUCUAAACAAACUUUUUGUUUUAGAAAACAUCAAACAAUUGUUUUUUUAAAACUGUUUUCAAAAACCAUUUUUCAAGAACUAUUUUCAAAAACAUUUUAAAACAAAUCCUAACCAUCCAUAUCCUUCUUAAUCUGUAUUCCAUAUUGGACUAUGGUCUAUUAAGCAUUAUGGAGAAACAUGCUGCAAUAUCUUAUGAAUUUUUUUCCCAUUAUUUUUAGUGGAAUCAUUAACAAAUUAAGCUACUUUUAUCGGCAUGUGUCACUGCAUUGAUCAUUCUUAUAUUACGAGUUUGUUUGAUAGUGUUUUUAAAAAAUACUUCUAGUAUAAAAAGUAUUUUUGAAGAAACAUUAGACAUUUGAUAAAAUUUAGAAAAUAUUUUUUAAAAGUUGAAAAAUCACGUUUAAUGCUUAUAAGAGUUUGUUUGAUAGUAAUUUAGGAAACACUUUUAAUAUUUCAAAUAUUUGAAAAAAUUUAUCAUUCAAGUGUUAGAAAUACUAGAAACGCUUUUUAAAAUCAUUCUCAAACAUACUUUAAGAAACACUUGAUAUGUGAUUCUCCUAAAAACACUUUUUUAAAAAAAAAUCUUUUACUAAAAACAUUUCGAAUAGAAUAUUGCCAAACACACUCUUACACGAAGGAUGGAAGAGAGCUAUUCCAUAUAGAAUUAACAACAAUUAACAUAAUUAUGACCUAGUACAAGUAAAAUCAUUUUGGUCUAUAGAGUAUAACAGGUGAUUUGAACCAAAGAAAUAACUUCAAUGAGAGCAAUCAAAAGAUCCAUGCACUAUUGGACCAUAUGUGUAUCAUGUUGUCGUAUUGCCAAGGGUCCAGACAACUGAACAAUGUGGUGCAGUAGUCCUUAUGUCUGCCUAUAAUUUGCAUUCCCAUUAGUCCUGGUUUCUGCAGCCUCCUGUUUUACCUUCUGCAGUAACUAAGCUUUCACCAUGAAGCCAUGAAGCUGCAUAUUGGGAUUAUCCUUCCUUAUUCAAUGAGUGAUCCAUAAAGAUUGGAUUAUGACCACAUACAGAUAUCAGUGCAUGCAUGCCUGAUGAAGGACCAUAUCCACUCCUGCAAUUAUUAUCUUUUUCGCAGGUGACUCUAUGGGAGAAGCCAUAGAUGAAGGACCACAUCCACUCUUCAAAUGUCAACCACAGUAGGGAAAAAAAAAAAAAAAAAAGAUUUAAAGUCAAUGUAAAUUAUUUUUAUAUGUUACUUUAAACAUAUUUUACUUAAUUAAAUUUUUGAUAUAAAGAUUAAAUAAUUUAAAAUAUAUAAAUUUCUAGUAAAUUUUAAUUAUAUUUGAUUUUCUUUGGUGUUUUCUAUGGUACAACCAAAUAUGAUAAAGUCAUUUUCUUGAGUAUUUUUUUUUUCUUUUUAUAGUGCUUUCCAGAACCAAAUAUAAACUAUAAGAAUCAUGAAAAAUAUUACUAAAAUGAGGUUAAAUGGAAUAAUAUGACUUCAAGGAGAGAUGAGGGUUGCAAAUAAUUUACCAAUUCGCCUCUAUUCAGGCCUAAUGCUGGCUGGGGGUAGCACAAAUUUUAUAUUUUUUUAUUUUUUUUUUAUGCCACGUCUAAUCGUAGAUCGCAUAGUUUUUCCUAUUUGAUGUUAUUAUUUGAUUUCAUAUUUUUUUUAUUCGUAUAUGUUUUCUUUUGUUUGGUGAUUGUUUGUUGAUUAUUCGUCAUGGUUGGAGAAAUAGAUGAUUCCUUUCAAUUUAUUAAUAUGAGAUUGAAUGGAAAAAAUUAUUUGUAUUGGAGUGAUGUGAUGACAAAUUUUCUAAAGAGCAAAAAGAUGAGUUAUAUUAUUGGCACUUCAUAUAAAUAUAAAAAUAAAGAGGAUGAAAAAUAUGCGAAAUUGUUAGACACUUGAGAAAUAAAUAAUUCAAAAAUUAUUAUAUGGUAUCGGAGUUUUGUUUGAUGGGAGGUCAUCUGUUAUAGUCUCAUCACAUAUUUAUGUACAGUUGUUUGCUCAUUGGUUUGUCCCUCCACAUGCAGGUAUGGGGUCGUACUUGAGGGAGAGUGUUAAAAAGCAUAAUAUACAUCGUGGACUCAAAGCCUAAAAGUUUAACAAGCGUAUUGAGAAAUGAACACUCUCCAACAUUUCAUCUAAUAGUGAAUACAUUUCAUCUACAUUUGUUAUCAUCGAUAAAAAUGGAACAAAAUGGUAGGCAAUUCUCCUAAUUUAUGAGCCAUAUUGCCUUUUUCAUCUACAUUUGGAGGCCCCUACAGCCCUCCAAAUGUUUUUCUUUACACACAAGGAAAAAGCCAUAUUCACUCCUCAAAUCUCCCGUAGUGAGAAAAAGAAUCUGUGAAAAAACAACACUAAAAUGAGGUUACAUGGCAGUGUUAAAUACCAAAGAUUUCAUCUAUUCAUAAUAGUCUAUUCCAUAUGUUAAUAGGGGACUGAAAAUCAGGCGACAGAUAUCAAAGAAACAGCUGUAAAGGUAAAAGAUGCUACAUGGAGGUCUUAUCCAUCUAUAUUUGUUAUCAUGGACAAAAUAGAAAAAAAAAACAAAAAAAAUGGUGGCCAAUUCGCCUAAUUUGUGAGCCAUAUUGGACUUACCUUGCAAAUCCAGUGAGAUCCUAUCAAGUACGGCUUGUAACCACACACACACAUACCCUAGCUACUUCCUCCAAUGACUUCCCCACAAAGUUUGCCUCAUAAUCACACACAUAUAUCAAUGUUGUGAGCCAAGUUCUAAAGUUGGGACAGUGACUCUUGCAAAUAUGCAAUAUACCAAAGUGGUAAUAACCAAAAAUCUGGUGCACUUGUCCUCAUAUAUGAGCUGUAUUAUUGAUGCUUUGCUACCGUCCAAUGGACAUGUGCCGAUGAAUAUGCUGCAUUUCCAUCCACAAGUGUCAGUCUCAAAUGUCAAUAUUGCUAGCUCAUCGAGCGAGAAGCCCCAAAAUAGGAGGGCAAAACUUGAGAUUAUAGCUCUUCCCGUAAUGUUAAGCUACCAACUUUGAGUUCACUAGCAUGUAAUAUGAUUAAAUAGUUUCUAUUUUAACAUUGGGUGAAGGAAUCGCUCCUAUUCUCUCAUAAUCACAGCUCCAAAUUGUGAUAACAUGCUCUUCAAGUGGAAUCUUGUAAAACUUGUGGUUCUCUUGUGACAUCUCCUGACCUCAUGAUAUGGACUCGAGCUAGUAGCAAUCAUUAACGUGCCUUGCAACUGUUGAGUCUAAACAGAGAAAUAAGAUUUGUUGGAGAAGGAAGGAAUGAUGAGAGCAAAUGCUUGACAAUAAGAAGCCAGGGGUGAGAAUCUGAGGAAAGUAGUUUAGACAUAAAUGUCAAGUUGCUUAUAGAAGCUGUUCCAAGCCUAAAUUUGAGUAACUCCCCAUGAGCAUUCUAGAUCUAAAAUAGUUUAGGAUUAACAACAUUUUAUUAAUUCAAAGCCAUGAAUAAUCCUUGCUCCUUGAAUUGUUAGGAUCAGGGACUUAGCCAUCUAAUCUGAAGACUAAUUGGUUGUCAGAUGAGAUAGAUGGGAAAGUCCUUGAUCCUAAUAGAUUGUAUCAGAGCUAGGUGACGAUCCUAAUAAACUGACCAUUUGCUCUCUUUAUCUGUUAGGUUCUCUCAUGAAGCAAAGUGAUCUAAAGCUCCAAGACAAUGUAAUCAAUAAUGGACACAUCAGACUUUGUUUUCUUCAGCUUCUUGGAGUUUCCUAUUCCCACUGGCAUUGAACUCAUUAGAGAAUCUGGCCUUGGUGGUGAGCUUCACGUGGUUUGCAUAUUUUUCAUUGUUACUGAACUUUGUAUUUAGACAGUAAAUAAUAAUGCCUUUGAAAAUGUCGACUUUCAUUUCAAUCCAUGAAAUGCUCCCCACCGCACAUACCUAUGAAUUCAGCCUGAUCAUGAAGCUUGCUUUCAAUGUGGGGCUAUUGAUUUUUAUCAUAUUUAUAUAGAUAUUUAAUGUUAAAAUUUCUAAAUUUAAUUUAAUUCCAAUGUUAAAUAGGAACUAUUUAAUUAUAUUACAUGUUAGUGAACUCAAAGUUGGUAGCUUAACAUUACAGUAAGAGCUAUAAUCUCAAGUUUUGUGCUUCUAUUUGGAGGCUUCUCACUCACUGAGUUAGCAAUAUUGAGAUUUGAGACGGACCCCUGUGGUUGGAAAUGUGGCAUAUUCAUCAGCACAUGUACUGAAAAUGUAGCAGAACCUCCAUAUAACCCAUAGAUGAAGAGAAAGGCACAAGGUUUUACCUUUCAUGUUUUCUUUCUGAUUAGAGUUUUGUGUUAUUUGGAAGAGCAGAACCUCCAUACAACAUUGGUAUAUGUGUGUGGCUAUGAUGAGGCAAACUUUGUGGGGAGGUCAUUAGAUGAAGUAGAGCAUGUGUGUGUGGUCAUAAGCUAAUUUUUAUGGCAUACUCUUCAGAUGAGGUAGGGCAGGCCAAAUAAAGAAGAUCAGACACCAAGGACAACUGCAUAUAUUGGCUCCUUUAAAUCAUUUGGUCUGUUAUGAGACUGGUAGAUAGCCACACCCUUUGUGGCCACAAGGUCACUGUUUGAAUAUUGAAAACGUGGUAUUUAGUAUGUGUGUGUGGUUACAAGCCAAACUUUGGACAAACUCACUGGAUAAGGUAAGGAAGAAAGCACCAUGGCCAGCAAUCUAUUAUUUCCUCCAAACUGCUCAAACCAUGCACCUACAAAUCUUAGCUGCAGUGCAUAAAUUUCAGCUAAUUUGUCACACCCUGCUCAAAGGCCUAAGUCCAUGACAUAAUGAUGUGGAAUAUAGAGAUAGAAGAAACAUGACACACAACAUUGGUAUAUCCGUACAUGUGUGUGGUUAUGAUGAGGCAAACCUUGUGGGGAGGUCAUUAGAUGAAGUAGAGCAUGUGUGUGUGAUCAUAACCUAAUUUUUAUGGCACACUCAUCAGAUGAGGUAGGGCAGGCCAAAUAUAGAAUAUCAGACACCAAGGACAACUGCAUAUAUUGGUUCCUUCAAAUCGUUUUGUCUGUUAUGAGACUGGUAGAUACCCACACCCUUUGUGGUCACAAGGUCACUAUUCGAAUAUUGAAAACGUGGUAUUUGGUAUGUGUGUGUGGUUACAAGCCAAACUUUGGACGAACUCACUGGAUAAGGUAAGGAAGAAAGCACCAGGGCCAGCAAUCUAUUAUUUCCUCCAAACUGCUCAAACCAUGCACCUACAAAUCUUAGCUGCAGUGUGUUAAUUUCAGCUAAUUUGUCACACCCUGCUCAAACGCCCAAGUCCAUGACAUAAUGCUGUGGAAUAUAGAGACACAAGAAAGGGAAAAAGUAGCUAUAUUAUUAUGAAUAGCAUAGGAUUCUUUUAUAUGACGAUGUUGGAGAGUGCUGAUUUGCAGUAGCUGCAACAUUUGGGAACACAGGCGAAUUCCAAAACCAUUCUUCUAAGCGUAAAGAUCCUGUAAGAUUUGGCCCUCAUCUCACCAAAGGUUAUGAUAUCUUUAGUAUGUAACACUCACCAUGUAACCUCAUCUUAGUGCUCUUUCUCACCCACAGAUUUUUUUUUUCCUCACUAUGUGGUUGAGACUUGGAAGAUUGAACAUGGCUUUUUCCUUGUCUGUAAAGGCAUUUGCAGACAGCAGGGACCAUUUCAGACAAAGACCCUUCAGAUAGUCACUGUCCAAACAUUGAUAACAUGGUUGGCUAUAAGUGAAUCUUUAUGGGUGGCUUGAUUAAAGAUAACCAAAAUUUUGAAUCAUAACCAAAUAUUUGCAGACAGGACCAUUUCCUUCAAACUUCAUAGACCAUGUUCCUAUGAAUCUUAGCUGCAAUGUAUUAAUGCCCUGCUAUGGAAUAGUGGCACAAGGAUAUUGAUAAAUAUUUUGCUCUCUAGUGAGUACGAUACAAGAAAAGGGGAUGAGUAACUACGAUAUUAUGUAUAGUAUUCACUGUAUUGAAGUGCAACAAUACAACUCUCAAGUCUGGAGACACCCAAAUGAUGACUCGUAGAACAAACCCAUGAAGUGUAAUGUAGAAAAAGUUUGGCUUACCAUCACUAAAUACCAAUUGGUUUUCAAUGAGAUGUUCAAAGCACGAUCCAACACUACCAUUUGUAGUUAGAAUAACUGAACUUAUUUGCAUUUGGUAACUAACACUUUUAUGUAACCUCAUUGGAGUGGUAUUUUUCACAGUUCCUAUGACUGUUUGUUCCUAGAAAGCUUAAAGGAAAAAAAUUACGAGGGAAAGAAAAUAGAGGAAAAGUAGAAGGAAAAAAGUCAAAGAAAAUAAAAAAUAGAUUUAAAGUUAAUAAAUUAUUUUUAUAUAUUACUUCAAACUUUUUUCACUUAUUUAACUUUUAUAUGUAAAAAUUAAAUAAUUUAAAAAUCUAUAAAUUUCUAAAUAAUUUAAAUUAUAUUUGAUUUUCUUUUACAUUUUUUACAAUAAAAUCAAAUAUGGGAAAAUUAUUUUCUUUAAUAUUUUUUUUCUUUUUUAAAUACUUUUUGAAAAUUAAACAUAAGUUACAAGUCAUCAACAGAUUCUUUUUUCGACACUAUGUGAUUGACAUCUGAAGAGUGGAUAUGGUUUUUCAUUUAUGGCUUCUCCUAUAGAAUCACAUGUUAAAGGUGCCUAGUUAACAAAAAAAUAAAAAAAUAAAAAAGCGACCUUUCAAGGAAAAUCAUUGUCCCACCACUGAAAUUUGUAUGUGGUCAUAAGCCAUUCUUUCUGGAUCAUUCAUUGAACAAGGCAAGAUAACCCCAAUGCAAAGGUUAAAAAUCAGGAAGAUUAUAUUGAAACUUGGUAUUACAUAUGUCAAUAUGUUUCAGAUUAUAAGCCAAUCUUAUAGUGCUUUCAUUAGAGAUUGUGGUCACACAAAGGGACUACUACACUAGAGUGUUCAACUAUCUAUGUUAGGAGUAAAUCCCUAUUUAUGAUAACAAUAACAUAUCAUAAACAGAAAAUAGACAAAGUUUUUCUAAGAUUUAUGGUGGUUCACUUUCAAUGUAAAAACCAUGUUAAUUCACUUUAUUGUUGCAGAUUUUGCAAUAUAUAUGUAUAUAUAUAUAUAUAUAAUAUAAUAUAAUAUCAAUCCUUACAAUAAUAGUCUCUCCUCUAGUUUUUCCCUCACAUAGAAAAUCUAUUACCCUAAUAAUAUCUUAUAUAAUAAAAAAAUUAGGGUAAACUAAUAUAAGUGUAGAAUACCUAAAAUACCUUUUAAAAUUCCCCAUCAUCUCUCACAUGGUCAUGGGAAAAAAGUGAGUAGUAUAAUUAAGUUUGACACGCCUAAAACAAUUAUGCUUGGUGAUUCACACACUACUGAUCAAGGUUUAAAAGUGGUGAGGUUGAACUGAAAUUCACCUUUUAAAGGGAAUUAACUUUAAAAGAUGUGGUUUAUACUCUUUCCAUGACAAAGAAUCUUAUGUCGAGCUUUCUUCUUAAUAAGGCCAGGUUUAAGCGAACAAUGGAAUUUGACUAAUAUGUAAUCUCCAAGAAGGGGAUUUUUGUGGGCAAAGGUUAUGGUUGUGAUGGAAUAUUUAAAUUGAAUGAUGAAAAUAAAGCAUCUUCAAAUUUUAUUAUAAGCUCUCUUCUUUAAACUUUUGUCAUACUCAUUUAUGUCAUAAAUAGCAAGUAUGUAGGAAUAGUGAGUUUGUAGUGAUUAAUUCUUAAAGAACUUUAAAAAAUAUGAAACAUGCGCUAUGAUUAAAAUGAGAAAAAGGGCCUCAUAAAAGUAUUGGGAGAAAUACCAAAUUAUUAGAAUUGAUACAUAUUUAUAUAAAUUUGAAGGGAUUCUAACUCGAGAAGGAAAUAGAUAUUUCAUAACGUUCAUUAAUGAUUAUUCAAAAUAUACUUAUAUAUAUUAGCUUGUUGAAAAAUAAAAGUAAUGCUUUUGAGAAAUUUAAAUAUUUCUAUAUUAAUAAAAGUUUGACAACUUGAAAAAUCGAUGUAGUAGAAUUUCUUUGGUUUGUCUCAUUCUCUAAUUUUGUAAGAAUAAGAGAAUCAAAGAUCAUGAAGGACAUUUUAAUAUGCCAUUGAUGAAUCCAUAUAGAUUGUGUCCUUGAUUGUCAAUAACACUUGGGAUUUCUAGAUCAAAUAAUUACUUUGAACUAACUUGUUAGGCAAAGUUUGAUUCAACGAGCUAGAGAAUGGAGAUGCAAAAUUCAUCAUUUAUUGAUUCGAGGUUAAUAAACUCAAUCUUAACAUAUUUUUGUUUUUUGAAAGCUAUUAUGACUUUGAUACCAUGAUGAGACUUUUAGGGGGUGUUUGGUACACGGAAAUAGGGAGUGGGAAUAGACAUCUCAUUCAUUUUCUCCCUUAUUCCUAUGUUUGGAUAAAUAUUAAGAAGGUAGAAAUAGAAUAAAAAACUAUUUAGACAGAAAUCAAAUCCAACUUAUAAGUUAGAUUUGAAUUCAUAAAAAAUAGGUGGUAUUCUGAUUCAUUAAACCCAUUUGAUAAUAUAAAAUAACAUAAAUUUACUAUUUUACCAUUUUAUUUCAUUUUUCAACCCGAUACUUAUCUUCUUUACAAAGCUAAACUAAAUCAAUCAAACCUUCCACGACAUUUAGAAAAAAAAUUUCAAUUUCUAAUUUCUAAAGUUUUGAAUGAAAUUUGAAUUCUUUUAUUUCCUCUUUUGGAAAUAGGAAAAACAUUUGAUAACUUUGAGAAUUUAAAUAUUAUAAUAAAUAUAUAUAUAUAUAUAUUUGGUAAAAUAUAAUUUUAUAACUACUUAAGCAUGACAAAUUAUUCAAAUUUUUAAUAAAAAUGAUAAUUGAAUAUUUGUACAUUAGGAUUAUAUGAUUUUUUAUGAUUAAUUUUUUAUUUAUUGAGUAUAUAUAUAUUUUUUAGUCUUAUUAUUUAAUAACAAAAAAAAACUCUCAAAAUUAAUUUUUUUUUAAAAAAAAAAUAUUUUAAAUUAUAUGGAAGGAUAUUAUUGUAAAUUUAUUUCUUUUUCAUUUCUAUUCCUAUUAUUAUCAAACAUUGGAAUGGAAACAAAGUCAUUUCAAUCUUGCAUUCCUAAGUUUAUCCAAAUACUAUAAAUAGAAUCAUCAAAUUCAUUUCUAUCCACUAAGAGUAGGCCUUACAUCACCCAUAUCGAGGCCUAUGACAAAGUUUUACUUUUGGAGCCAUCAUUUUUCAAGAAGUGACAUUGUCCCAACCCUAACACAUACUAAGGAUGAAAAUAUGAGUAAUUAUAAAUAUAUCAGUACUUCGAUUUUACGGAUAUAUAAGAGAUAUAUUGACAAAUAUUUUGAUAUUAAAUAUUUGUGGACCUAAAUUGAUUAAAAUUUAUAAAAAUAUAAAUAUAUAUAAUAUAAUUUAUCAUAUUUGAUAAUAAUAUUGUAUGUGUCAAUAAAAAAUAUAAAUUUGUUAAGUGUACAUUGAUUAUUAAAUUACAUCAAAUAUUAUUCGAUAAUAAUAUUAUAAUAUUUGAUUAUAAUAUGUUUAGUCUUAAAAUAUAUUUAAUAUUAAAAUUACGAUAUAUUUAAUUUAAUUGUAUUAAAUGAUAUAAAAUAAAUUAUGAUAAAUGUAUAAUUUUUUAAUAUUUAAUUAAUAUAUUAAUUAUAUUAAAAAUAUUAUGAAGAAAAUUAUCAUGAUAAUUUUUAUGUUUUUGCUAAUAAAUUAAAUGAAAUAUUUUCAUUUAAUUAUAAAAUAAUUAUAAUUAAUUUGUUCUUUAAAAUAUUAUUUUAAUAUUUUGUUUAUAUGAUAAUGUUUAUUAUAUAUAUAUAUAUAUAUAUAUAUAUUUGGUGCGUAAUAUACAAAUAGGGGCAAAUUGGCUCUAGUGGUGUAUGUGGCCAUUGGCUGAACCUUUUGUUGGGGUUCCAACCCGAAGAAAAAGAGCCGUCGUUUCGAAGCCGACCGAUACACAUCCUUGACACAUACAACAUUAAUUAUAAAUAUUACGCACGAAUUUAUAUAGGUUCUAGCUAGUAAAAAUGGAGAUAGCAUUUACCUAACAUGAUAAAAUCUAGAUGUUUCUUUUCCAUCAAAAAGUUUUCACCUAACAUAAUAAAAUCACUACAAACAAUACUUGAUGCAUUUCAUGAUCAAACGUGGGGAAUUUUGUAAGCAUGCGUUAUUGGACCACAUUUGGCUCAUGUUAUAAUAGUGCCAAGUGUCUUGAGUCUGGACACCUACCACUCUGGGCCACUAGUGUCCUUCUGUGUGACCUGUAGUGUCUUUUACCUACAGUCUCCAAUGGACCACAUUAGUCUCAUUUUACCAUAUCCAAUCUUCAAAUUUCAAGCAGAGUGGAAAAAAUAAUAUUCUAUAGAUGACUUGCUCAAUCUGACUUCAAGGAGAGAUGAGGGCAAACACAUACAGAUCUCUUUGCUUUGCAUAAUAGUUCACCUAUUUGCCUCUAUUCCCAAACGCAAACAAGCUCAAUUAUUCUAACUACAAAUGGUAAUAUUGGAUCGGGAUUCGAUUAUCUCAUCUGAAAAUCAAUUGGUGUCUAAUGAGGGUAAGUUAAAUCUUUUAUAACAUUCUAUAUCACAUGACCUCACAGGUCUAUUAUAAGAGUUAUCAUUUGGUUACCCAUCCCAGGCUUAACAGUUGCAUUGUUGCACCCCAAAUGCAGUGAUUACUACGUUAUACAUAAUAGCAUAACUACACAUUUCUUUUUCAUGAAUCUUACUCAUUAAAUUCUGCAAAAUAUUUACCAAUAUCCUUGUGCCACUAUGUUCCACAGCAGUGCAUUAACUUAAUUCUGAACAUACAGCCAAGGGAGCUACAAUGGCUUGUUGCCUACUUUGGUAAUUAACUAAAGAUUUCCUUAUGAUGAAGAAUUGCUGGCCAUGGUGCCUUAUUCCUUACCUUAUCCAGUGAGAUCUUAUCAAGUUCAGCUUGUAACCACACACACAUACCCCUGCACCUUUUCCAUAUUUGAAUAGCGAAUAGUGACUUUUUUGGCCAUAAAGGGUGUAGGUAUCUACCAGUCUCAUGACAGACAAAACCAUUUAAAGGAGCCAAUAUCUCCAGUUGUCCUUGGUGUCUGAUCUUCUAUGUUUAGCCUUCUCCUAUCUCAUCUGAAGAGUGUGACAUAAAAAUUAGCUUAUGAACCCAGACAUAUGCUCUACUUCAUCCAAUGACUUCUACACAAAUCUCUAAGGAAAAAGAAGCCAUGAUCAAAGGUAAAAUCUUGUGCACUUCUCAUCUAUGAGUUACAUUUUAGUACAUGUGCUGACGAAUAUGCAACAUUUCCAACCACAAGGGUAGGUCUCAAAUCUCAAUAUUGCUAACUCAGUGAGUGUGAAGCCUCCAAAUAGGAGCAUAAACUUGAGAUUAUAGCUCUUACUAUAAUGUUAAGCUACCAACUUUAAGUUCACUAACGUUUGAUAUGAUUAAAUGGUUGCUAUUUUUCAUUCAAAAAAGGAGUAACAGUGUAAGUGAUACAUUUCUUUUUCCUGUUCUUUUCUAGCAACCAAACAUAGCAUUUGAGAAAAUGAGGCCAAAUUCAUAUACUGCACAGGAGAACAGAAAUCUUAUUACAACUCAAACUAGAAAACAACAUAUAUCUUACAAUACAACUCAAACUAGAAAACAAGCCACAUGAAAAAUGUUUGCAUUCCCUCUGAGUCCUUUAUUUUGUAACUUAUAAUUAUUUCUAGAUUUAGAGGGUGUUUGGUAAAUCAACUUAAUAACUUAAUAUGACUUAACGAUUUAAUUUAAAUUAUUUAAGUAAAUUAAGCAUGUUUGAUAAAAUGAUUUAAUAUCGCAACUUAAAGUAAAAAACAACUUCAAGUAUUAGGUCAAAAUAAAUUAACUUAUUCUUAAUCUCAAGUCUCUUUUGCCUCAUUUACUCAUGUUUAAUGAGAAUAUAUUUCACAAUUAUAAUUUUACAUUCAGAAUUCAUUUUUUAUAGUAAAUAUUUUUGUAAUUAUUUUAUAUAUUUACAAUACUUCAAAUAUGAAUAUUUAAUAGAUAAAUUUAUUAUUUAAGAUUAUUGAAAGUAUAAAUAUUAACUAAAAUUAACGAGUGUAAAUAUAUUUAUUUGAUAAUUUACAAUAACUUUUAAGUUAACUUUACCAAAAUAACCUUAAUAUUUAAAAUAAAAAAUAAUCAUAAGUUCAAGUCAAUAAUUUAAGAACAAUUUAACUUAAAGUCAACUUAAAUUAUUAAGUAAUAAAUAUUAAAUUUUACCAAAGAUCCUCUUAGUAUGUAACAAUGAAGUUUAAGGUAUUGAUAGUGUCUUGGGCACUUACGUGUACAUAGGGUAAGACCCUUUUGCAAGGACCUUUUAAUAAAAUGUCUUCUUGCUGUCAAAAAGGAAAUUCGACGAUGUGGAAAAAUAAAGUAACAAAGUUCCAAAUAGAUUUUUAUUUCUCAUUUUAGAUAUUUUCUCAAGAAUCAAGCAGAAAAUAGGCAUAACUAAAUAAAUAAAUAAUUUUUUUUUUAAAUAUUAGAAACAAAAUCAUAUAUUUAACUAGUUUGUAAAAAAAAGGUGACUUUCUUUGUAUAUGUCUUUUUCAAGAUUGAAACAGGAUAGACUUGUUAUAUAAAGUUAUUGAGAAUAAAAUAGGAGUACACUCCACAUGUUAAAUUAAUAUAAAAAAUGGAAAUCCUCUCGAUCAUCCUUUUAAAACCCCAAUUCAAAAAACUUCACAAAGAAAAAGAAAGCUUUUAAGCUUAUGAAGAGGAAGAAGGGAGAAGAAAACAAAGGAAAAAGUAGUAAUAGGUUUGUUAUUGUGUUGUGCUUUCCAUUAAAGGGAUCUAUAUAUAGAGAAUGUAUAAGGCUAACAAUCUGUACACAUGGCCUUGUAGAAUAGAGGGACCAAAAACUAAAUAUAGCUAAAAUUAAAACUUUAUUGAUGUGUAUCACUCUAUUUAUCCACACCCCACCACCCCCCCACCCCUCUUCUUGCAAACUCAGAGGCCUAGUAAGGACUGUUAGUUUGUUUCAAAAAUGAAGAAAUCGCUGAAUAGGAACAGCUUUGGUGAGAUAAACAGCAAGCUGAUCGAUAGAGGGAGUAUAAGGCACAACAAGAGUUUUUGGAACCAUCUUUUCUUAGACAAAAUGAAAGUCAAUCUCGACAUGCUUUCUUCGGUCAAGAAAGACUGGAUUGGCAGUCAUAUAGACAAUGUUGAGUUCUCAAAAAAAAGAACCAAUCCAACUCAGUUCAACAAUACCAUUUGCAACAGUCCUGUAUUCAAACUCAACAAUGGAAUGAAAUACAAUUUUUUUGCUUUGUAAAAGACCAUGAGAUGAGAUUAGAGCCCAUAAACACACAGUAAUUGUUGAUACUUUGACGAUCAUGAAGGAUGGAAGUAUAGUUAAGAUUAGUAAAACAUGUUAAAUUGUAAUCUAGAGUGACUUGGAUUGAAAGGUCAUGAUGAGAAGUCCCUUGCAGAUAGCGUAAAAUGUGUUUUAUAGCUUGCCAAUGAACAUCAGAAGGAGAAUGCAUAAAUUGGCAGACUUUGUUGUGUUGGGGCUUGUUAAUGUGCAGUACUGAAGAGCUUCAACUACACUUUUUUUGUACUGCCAUCUUCAAGAAGAGUCCCAUCAUGGAUGGAUAGAACAGAACCAGAAGCCAUAGGGGAAUGAAAAGACUUGGAAUUAGUCAUGGUGGUGCAGGCCAAAAGAUCGGUGAUGUACUUGUGCUAAGUGAGAUGGAGACUAGAAACAAAAUGAUGCACCUCUAUGCCUAAGAAAUAGUGAAGAGGUCUUAGAUCUUUAAUUGCAAAAUGAUGACCAAGUGAAAAGAUGAGUUGGGAAAUAGAGUCCAAAUGAGUACCCAUGACAAUGAUAUCAUCGACAUAGAUGAGUCCUACUAGAUGAACAUGGAAGAAUUUACAAGAGAACCAGUGAAGCCCCAUUGAAAAAGAGCUUGGCUAAGUUAAUUUGAUGAACCAAGCAUGGGGAGAUUGUUUAAGACUCUAGAGUGUUUUCUCCAAUUAACACACAUGAUUGGGGAAUUCGGGAUGAAUAAAACUUGAUGGCCACACCAUAAAAACUUCUUCAGUAAGGUCGUCAUGUAGAAACACAUUUUAUACAUCUAACUGUCGGAUAAGCUAAUUGUGAGAGAUGGCAAGGGAAAGAACCACUUGAAUGGUAAUAGGCUUGACUAUCGGGUUGAAGGUUUUAAAAAAAUCCAAGCCAAUUGUUUAUUGAUUUAACUACCAAACAUGCUUUUUAUCAAUCGAUACUACCAUUAGCUUUCAGUUUAAGCUUGUAUACCUACUUGCAGCCAAUAAAUUUAACAUCAGCAGAGGAAGGAACCAAGUGCCAAGUCCUGUUUUUAAUCAAAGCAUCAUAUUCAGCUUGCAUUGCUUGUUGCCAUGAAGCAUGUUUAAUGGCCUGGUUGUAAAUAGAUGGUCUAACCUAAGGUCCUGCAAGAUUGCUUAAAAAUAGCUUACGCUUGUAAAUUCCAUACCUAGAUCAUGUCACCAUGAGGUGAUCCUUGUGAGUUGGUAGCCUGGUUUUCUCUAGAGGGAUAUGCAAGUCCUUUACCAAGGAAGUGGACAAGGUAAAGGGUUGUGGUGGUGAAGGAAGAUUGAGUGAAGAGGUGGCUAUAGUAGAUUAUUCAGGAGGUGGUACAAAUGGAGAGAUGGAAGAUGAGGAAGGAAAUGAAGAUGAAGAAGAAGAGGAUGGGGAACUAGGUGUAAUGUUUAAGAUGGAAGGAGAAAUAUGAGUGGUGUUGGGAAUUGUCCCAAAUUCCUAAUUAGUAAAUAUUCCUUUUUGUGAAGAAUAUUGUAUAGAAUAUUUCUAGGUUGAUAUAUUAUUGUAAUAUUAGACUUCCUUAUAGAAUAAGGAAGGUUGUUGGAAAUAUCUCUAUAAAUAUUCUAGGUCAUGAGGGGAAAAAGUUAUGAGAUGGAGAUGGGCCUAUAGAGACUAUACGAGGUGGAUAGAGAUGUGAGGAAGAACGGGAGGUACCUGGUGGAGCGAGAGGGCUCGUAGUAAGGUAUGGAUACAAGGAGUGGGGAAACAUGGGAUGUUUCGGGAACCCAAUAGUUGUAUCUGGUUUUAUCCUCUGUAAUAUUCUCUAUUGUAUAGUGAAAUUAUUCUCUCUCAUCCGUGGACGUAGGCAUGGUUGGCCGAACCACGUUAAAACCUCGUGUACCGUAUGUGUGAUUGUUUUAUCUUUGUGUUCUUGAACUAACAUUGUUGGCAUCAAAGCUUUCGCUGGCACUACAAGUGGUAAAGGAAGGAAAAAAAUGGGAACAAUGAUUGGAACAGAUGAACAAGCUAUACAAGGAGAAGAAGAUUGAAUAUUAGAGAAGGGAAGAGCUUAAGAAAAGGGGAAAAAAAAAAGAAAGGAGAAGAAAACAAAGGAAGAAGUUGUAAUAUGUCUAUUAUUGUGUUGUGCUCUCCACAACAGAGAACUAUAUAGGGUGAAUGUAUAAGAGGCUACCAACCUGUAAAUGUGGCCCUAUAGAAUAGAGGGACCAAAAACUGAAUAUAGCUAAAAUUAGAACUUUACUUAUGUGUAUCACUCUGCUUAUCAAAAAAGAAUUUCAUUAUGUAAACCAAACAUGGCCUAGGGUUGUAACUGAAGACAAAAAAUUGAACACCCCAUUUGAAUUGAAUAAUGUUUUAUUCAUUUCAUAAUGUUUUAUUCAUUUCAUAUGCCUAUUUAGAUCAUGGGGAAAAAAAAAAAAAAAAACGUGUACCUGAAUUUUAAGAGGAGCAACUGCAAAUCCAACUAGUCUGAGUUCUACUCCUUUAAGAAAAACUCACUGGGGUUUCAAACGGCUUGUAGUCCCAAUUAUGACAUUUCAAACACUCCAAGCUGGUAGCAAGAAGUAAUUGUAUCAUCAAUAAAAACCACCAGAGUCCUGCCAUUGCAGAUCAAGCUGUGUUCACAAAUCUUCUAUCUAUGCCAAAUAAAUGCAAUGACCUCAGAAAUAGAGACUCCUAGCAAUUGAUUGGAUGAUCAUAUUGUUCUCAAUAGUUUAGUUUACCUUAUUUAGGAUAGCUUCUUUGUUAUAUUAAACAUGAAAGAACUUCUUAUAUAAGCUAAAAUAGAACUUCUACAAAAAGCAAUAUUUUCUUGACUUCCAUAUUAAGUUUUUUUUGAAGCUAUAAGCUUUUUUUUUAUAACAAAAUUAGUCAAACAUGGUCUUAUAUAUAUUUGGCAUAUACAACACUAGCGAAGAUGCAAAAUUCUCAUUUUCCAAAACCAAGGUAAAUAAGUAGUAUCAAAAACUGAAAAAAAGCUCUUGUUGAGGGUGCUUGGUACAAGACGUGCAAUAACUUAAAGUCUGUUUAACAAUGCUUUUAGAAAAUAACAUAAAAAACUGUAAAAAAAAAAAAAAAAAAAAAAAAGCUCUUGUUGAGCAUGCUAGGCAUGAGACUUGUGAUAACUUAAAGUCUAAUUAGCAAUGCUUUUAGAAAAUACUUCUAAUAUAAAAAGCAUUUUUGAAAAAACAAAAAUAGGCAUUAAACAAAAUUUAGAAAAUACUUAUAAAAAUUUGAAAAAUGCUUAUAGUGCUUCCUAAAGAAGUACUUGAUAUGUGAUUCUCCCAAAAAUACUUCUAGGGAAAAAAAAUUCACUAAAAAUAUUUAAAUAAAAAUAUUAAUAAACACACCUUUAAUCAAAAAAGACAUUGAGAGAGAGAGAGAAGAUGCCUUCAAUUUAUAGAGGGUGGCUUACCUUUGCAGAGUAGGAUGAGACAUAAGAUUGGAUUUUCUUCAAGUUGUGAUCCAAAAUUCCUUAGCAAACCUGAUAUCUAGACGUGAUAUAGUACUUCCCUUAUGUCUUUUCUGUAGAAGUUUCAUUGGUGUAAGAGGAAUUGGAAUGAGGUACAAAUUUUAUUAUUUUGAUUCGUACUUGAAUUUCAUUCAAAAAUUUCAAGUACAAUACUGAAUCCUUUACAAAAUCUAGGACAUUACAUGUAAUUAUAUUAUAAUUACUCAACCUUUACGUAUGCAUAUAUAGUUGAUUUAUUACAUUGAAAUUGAGCAGGGAAUCAUAGCAUGCAUCCUGUAAGUGGUAGUAACAAAUGAAGAUUAAUCGGUAUCAUAAUAAUAACAAUAGACACAGAGUUCUUUGUCGGAUACUUCUCUCAAGCCUAGCUGAAGAAUCUUGAGGUUGGUGAUUAGAAGAGCAAGAACCAUGUUAGGUGUUCUUCUCUUCAAAGAUGGAUCCUAUGUGCUCACCUGAGAAACCACACUAUGGUUCUAAGAAAAAAAAAAAAAAAAACUCUAAGUACAAAGCAAUGUGCAUGUAGAAAUUUAUAUGAUAAUAACUAAGCAAAAUUUGCAACAACCUACCAUUUUCAUUAACUUUAAAAAAUUUGGAUCUUUUUCCGGCUCCGCUCAUGCCAUUGAAGUUUCAACAGGUAAGAAGUGACACUAAACAAGAAAAUGAUAAUGUAAAUAUGAUGUCUUUCUUUAAAACAAAUAAGCGCCAUCACAAUCAAAGUUAAUUUUUCAUUAGGUUUCACUUGAAAAUUUUAAAUAUUUUGACGAGUAAUGUUAGGUUUGAAAAAGAAUGAAAACCUUGAGUAAUUGAUUGAUUGAUUAACAUUGGGUUAAAUGCUCAAAAAAAAAAAAAAAUGCUUUUGCUACAUACCUCCACGUGAAGGUGCCAUUUGGUUGAUGUUUUCCCCUUCGAUGGAGCCUGUUUGCUAUGAAAACUUAAGGCCAAGAAGAAAACCACAUGAAUUGAGCAAGUAAAAAAACUCAAUUAAGGGAAAAUAAUAUUAUAAUAAUAAACAAAUGCAUAUCGGUAUGAAUAGAAUUUCAAGAAAAUUUAAAUGAUUAAUAUAUUGUAAUAGAAAUGGUGAAAAAGCUCACAAUAUGAUUGAGUUAAACAUGAGGAAAAAAAAUCUAAGGUACCAAAGAGUACCUACCAAACUCCCAAUCCUCACUAUUUAAAUUGUAUAUAAAAAAAUACUCCCAAUCUCCACUAGUUGAAGUGUAUGAAAAAAAUAUCUUUGGAUAAAGGUGCAAAUAAUAAAACUAAUAAGAGUAGGUAUGCAAAAGAACAAAAGUAAAAAUUAAUGAAAUCAACAUACAAGAGAACAAGUACAAAGUAAUUGAAUCUAAAUGUACACAUGGUACCAUGACAUGAUUGUGGUUGCACUUUUCGAUGGUUACCUAUUUGAUACUCUAAUCUAAUUUUAAACAUAAGUAGGAUUUAUCAUUCAAUAAUAUAAGGUGGUAUUUGUUUUUUUAGUUUUUUACUUAAAGCAAUUUGUUUUCAGAAUUUAGGUUGUUUAUUUUUCUACUUUUUCAUGAUUUAUUACAAACUUUUUACUAAAUAGAAAAAGUUAAAAUAUGUAGCUUUUUCUAAAUAGAAAAAAUAACAUAUUGAUUUUUCUUUACUUUUUAAUACUUAAUAGAAAUAAAAUACUACAAAAACAAACAAUCUAAUAUUUAACACUAUUAAGUAUUAAGGUUUUAUUUAGAAUUAAGUAAAAAAAACAAACACCACCCUAAGUGUAAUUUAAUAUUCUAAACAUCUUUAUUCCAAAAUAACAUAACCAUCGUAUCAAUACCCCAAUAGGCAAAGAAGUCAUCUUAUCUUUGAAAAAGAUUAAAAAUUCAAAGAAAUAGGCUUAAGAACAAAAAAAAAAUAGGUAAAAAAAAAAAAUUAAAAGUUCUUUUAAAAAAAAAAAAAAAGAUAGAAUAAAAAAAAAAAAAAAAAAAAAAUAACCCUCAUGGGUUUGAAAAGAAGGCCCUACAAACUCAAAUAACCAAACAAAGGGAUUUUCCUUAAACUAAGAACCAAGGGAUCAAUCUUUGAAAGCUCUAUCUAUAUCUAAUUAUCAACCAAACCAAUCAAGCACUUUUAAAUUUGGUUUUAAAAGAUAAAAGAGAGAGAAUAAACUUCAUAAGAAGUACAUGAUACAGGUACAUGAAUAAAAUUCUACAAUAUUCUUAGAGAAAAUUAAUUAAAAAUAACAAUAUUACGUACCAAUUUCAAUUUGCAAAAUACUUAAAAAUCUUGGUACACAAGUUUUAAACUUUAUAAACAAAAAAAAAAAAAAUUGUAGAUAAAAAAACUUAUAGAUAUUAUUUUAGUAGUUGUAGGAUCUGAAAAAAUUAAAUUCAAAUAAAUUUAAAAAUGAUAAGUUAAAUAAGAAAUUCAUUUAAAGUUUUCUAUAAUUUUAAUAAUUCUUAACUCCAAAGGUUUCCAAAUAGGAAAAAAAAAAUCUAUAAUUUCCCUAAAAGACUUAGGGUUUUGUUUGCAAAGAAAUUAAUAAAGCAAAUUGAAGGAAAUGGGUAAUUUAUUUCUGAAUUAUCUAUACAAAAUUAUCAAAGGAGUAAACAUUAUGUAUUUUUUUAGUAGUAAAGAAAAAUUCUUAAAAAGAAUUGGAGUGUUAAAGGAGAGGGAUAAGGGGUUAAUAAUUGUUGCUCAAUUAGCAUAAGCUCAGUAUCCUCUCAAGGUUGAAAGACAAUACAAUGAAGUAAUUUGGUGAAGUCAUGAAAACUUAAUAGUCUUAUGUCAUGACUCAUCAUAGGUCUUGUCCAAUGUAUAACCGUACACUCUAGUGUGUUUCAUAAGCCCAUGAAUUGGCUAAGAAUGAGUUAUCCACUUGUAAGGAACUUGUGACUUGGAUCUUCCAUACAACUCCUAAUGCACCCAAAUCACAUAUAAUAUAAGAGAUGUAAGGUAAAUGGCUUACGAAGUAUAAUGUAGGGAAAACUAGUAUAACGUGAGUAAUUAUACUGGUUUAAGAUAAUAUAUCGAGUUGUUUUCUCUCUAAUUAUGUAUUUGUAGCAUUCUCUCAAACACUUUACAAAUAUCUGGAUUUAUCUUGUUGGAUUUUCUUUUAUGUUUUUCUCAUUAAAAAUCCACGAGAUGAAAUCAAUCUCACAUGCUACCAUAAAUGACAUUAGAAUGAAACUAGAUCUAGUCAAUAUUAAAUCAAACUUGAAUGAGAGAAUUACUUUAAGAUUGUACAUUGCCAUCAUUAGGUGAUCAUUAGGUGAUCAUCAAUGUAGUCUUACCACAAUCUUCUUUUGUUUUUUUUUUUUUCAUUUUUUAAAAUGGUUAUAAAUAGUGUGUAGGAGCUAGUAGGAUUCUUUGUUUUUCAAUCUUUUAUCAAUUGUCCAUUUUACUUUAUUGAAUGAGUUUCAUGCACAUAAGAUGGAUGACAUGUGGCAUGUGGCACAAUAUACUAGGUCUUAUAUGUAUAAUUGGCUUUCCAAGAUAAGAUUGCCAAAAUGACGAUGUUGAGCCAUCUAAUUACAUGGAUGACCAAGAUAUUUUUUGUUACUUAAAAUUUUAAAUAUGACUACAAAUUAGGUCUCAUUUUAAUGCAUUGUAUUGAAUGUGGUUAAUAAAUAAUACAAAUAGAUAUUAUUUUUAUAUUUGUUAAAAAAAUUACAUAUUCUUUUUUUAUCUUGGCUAGGUUUCAUAUAGCAUUUUUAUAAGGACAUUGAGUCUUGUUUUUGUUUGUUGGCAAUUUUUUUCGUAUUCAUCCUGGCUUAGAAAACUCUUUAGAUAGUAACUUACUCUCCACUAAAGAUUCAAAGUUAUUGUUAACUCAACCAAAAAGUCACAAGUAAGUCUAAAAAGAUUUGUUCAGUGGCAAGUUAGGUGAUUGAUGGGUUAAAGUGGAUCAAUACUUUUUCUAUGAAAUAAAAAUGUUUGAAUUGAUGUUUUGGAAAAAUAGGGGAUGCUCGAGUAGUGGAGCCAAUUAUCAUAACCUGCUCCAAAUAACCCUCAUUUGAGCUUAUAUAAGAGAGUAGGAAGCUUCUAGAACCUCUUAGAGUCAUCUACACUAGUAGAGUAUGGAAGGUUCUAGAGAAGUCUAGAGAUGUCCACACAUCUCUACACUAAGUUGGAAGACAAUGAAAAAGUGUGGAGCUAUCUAGAGAGUUCAAGACAAGUUUUGUAAAUACUUAUAAAUAGCCUUUGUAUAGAGUCUUCUAGAGGAUUUUUUAUUUGUAAAAAACCUUCCAAGGUUCCAAAGAGUUCCUAAGGUGUCUAUAAAUAGGUGAGAGCCUUAUUUGGCUAAGAUAACAAACAAGUGAGAGGUUCCAAGCAUUGUAAACAUUCUUGUGCAAUACCAAUUUCCUUUCAUUCUUAAAGUGUUGCCUUCAUUAUGCCUUUUAGAUUCCAAGUCAUGUGCAUACUUAGUCUAACUAUCUAAGUAGGUGGGAAAAACUGACUUAACAAUGUCAAGCAUCUUGAGUUGUUUAAGUGCCACACAUGAGCUUAGGAAAAGCUUGAAUCCGUGACAUAAAGCUCAAGCAUUAGAACCACUCAAGCACUUAUCGACCACUCAUGCACCCGAGAUGCUCAAGUUGUCAUUAAGUGCACUCAAACAGUCAUCCAAAAUCUACUAGAAUAUGACAGAAUUCGUUUUUGAAAAAAAUUCUUGAAUAUUCUUUUUGGUAAAUUCUAGAUACCGAUCCUCUAAGCCUAUAAGCCUAUAUAAACCCUCUCUUAACCCAUUUAGGGUUGGAUGCUUUGAGAUUAGAAUAAACCAACUUGCCCCAUCAUUCCCAAUCUCUCAAGAAAGAAUUCAUAGGAUUGAAUUCUGAGUUGUUGGAAGGACAUGCAUCCCUUCAGAGACUCAAAGGAAUCCACUUGAGUAUUAGAGGUAUUGCGUUGUGGUCGUGGAUCAAGGUAUAAGGUUUGAGAGUAAGUCUUUAGGGUAAAGCGGUCAAGUAAAACUCUAUACUUUGAUUUCAAAUAUUGGAUUAUAAAUUAGAGGUUUUAGGCCCUGUGGUUUUUUUAUCUCCACAGUUAGUGUGGAGUUUUUCCACGUAAAAAUUCAUGUGUCCCUUGCUUUAUUUUUUAUUACUUUGAUAUUUGAUUGUUUUGAUCAUCCCUAAAUUUUGGGUUAAUUUAUUCAUCACUUAUAUUGUAAUAUUUGAAAACACCCAUGAACCUUCCCCCUUACCCAGGGUGUUACCUUACUAGACAAACGGUUUUUCAAUUUUAUCUCAUAAAAUUUUGGUUUUUUUUUUUUUUUUGCUCAAAUUAAAGUAAAAAAAUCAUAAUCUACAAAAAAAUAUACAAUAAAUUGUCAAAAUAAAUAUAUAGACCUGCUAAAUUCAAAAGAUUAGGCAUACAUUUGCCUUAUCUUUCUUUCUGUUAAAGCCAUAAUACAUCAUGACCAAUUAAUGAUAGAAGCAAAUCAAAUCAAUCUAAGUAAAAAAGAAAGCCUCCCUGCUAGUAACUUAAUUUCCUAGCAAAAACAACUAAUAUGUAGAUUCAUUUUCAAUGCUCACCAACAUAGGAAUCCCAAAAACAUGAAAAUUGACCAAGUAUCAAUAAUAAUGGCAAAUGGUAGUGUAAAAUAUAAUUUUCAAAUUACACGUUAAAUAAACCCAAACAGAUUUAGUUGUCAUUGGAAUUGUUUGGAAAUAAAAUUCUCUUUUAAGAGGAAUUUAUUGGGAACUUCUUUGGAGUUCAUGGGUAAGAGUUGAGAAGAUUUAGUUUGAAUAGUGUGUGCAAUAGUCUGUUGAUGAAUAUAGGUGAAAACUCUUUGGUUAUUGUUAUGAUGAGCCAAAAACUUGAAACUCGACCUACGAUCCUAUAGUCAAAGGUUUGACCUUAAGGAUUAUACUCUAUCCAAAUUGCCAGUCAACUAAAUAACCUUAAUUAUUUUCUUGGAAUAAAUUGAAAUCUAAUUUCAAAUAAAUUUUUGAAUUGGGAUAAUACUGUAGGAAUCUUCAAACCAACCAUUACAUACUCAUGAGGAAAAUAAAUCUACUAAUCAUCAAACCACUCAAGGUAAUUAUCCAAAUCUCUACUAUAAUUCUUAUGAUAGAAUAUUCCCAAAGGUCCUUUACAAAAUAACAAAAUAUCAAUUAGGUUGCAAUAAUCCAUAUAACUAUGAUUAAUAUAUAUUAAAAAAACUAACAUAAACUAAAAGCAAUUAUUUAAGUUAGUCAUUCACUUCAUGGGACUUUUUGGAACUUUUCCUAAUCUUCUUGUGAUUCAUGAUAAACUAUAUUUGUAUUUAAAAUAUUUAAAGAAAAAUAAUUAAGCAUUUUCACAUUGCUCAAUAAGGUGUCUUGCAACCAAAGGAGUUAAAAAUUCUAAAUCAAUACAACACAAUUGUAUGUCAAAAUAUCAUACUCCAUUUACAUUACAUUACAUUAAAUGAAACUUCAAUUAUACAAAAUUAAAUCAAUCUAGAUGAAACUUGUCUUAUUUUAAACAUACAAUUGAUGACAUUCAAUCAAUUGACAUAAAUCCUUCUUUUAGAUGCAAACAUGAUGCAAAUAAAUGUUUACACGUAAUCAAGCAAUGCAAUGUCAUUCUUGGGCUUUCACCAAAGGAUAUGCAUAUGUACCCAAAUAUACUUUUCAUUCGGAGCUUCCUAAGAUAAAUCUUUGUAUAUUUCACAUUAGGUAUCUCACUUCCUUCUUAAUUUACCCUUUCUAUAUCUUUUCAUUUCUCAUUUUCUUUUGUUUUCAUUUUUACCCUCUUUGAUACCUUUUUAGUUUUGUUUCCAUUUCAUACAAUCAUAGAUACAAAAUGAAUGCAAUAUAUUAUCAUUGUCCAAACCCAACUCAAAUAAUAAUAUCUAAAAUAUAAAAUAAUUAUUUUAAACACAGAAUAAUACUCAAAAAUUUUGACAAAUAACUUUCAUUAUUUUCAACGCUAAUAUAUCACCAAUAAAUUUCAAUUUUAUCUUCCUAACACAAUCCAAACAGUUCUAAUACUUCACACAAAUAUUUCUUUUUUAUUCACAUGAAUUGUGUCAUUAACAAAUUCAACAAAUAAUUACCGCAUUUUUCUCCAUUGAAAAUUCAUGUAAUCUUAAAAAUAAAAUAAAGUAAUAAUCAUUUGUACAAAAUCACUUGCAAAAUAUCACCAUAAUAAGUAGGUAUGACUUUCAAAGAUAAUAAAUAAUAACAAUAAAAUUUUCUACUAAAAUAUGUUAAAUAAAAAUUUUAGGAACAAACCACCCUACCAAAAAUCGAGAAUCCAACCAUUAACUUUAAAAUUGGACAUCAAGACAAUGUUCCUCAUGUAAAGUAAAAUAUCCUCCUAGAAUUUUGACAUGUAUCAAACGACACUUCGAAGACCUGCAGUACCAAACUCUCCUCAUUUUUCCUUUUUCUUUUUCCCUUAAUUUUCGUCAUCCUUCUAGCACCUCUCUGCUGCUGUUGUGAUUUCUUCUUUCUCUAUUCUUUGAUGUCAAUGUUUUUCCACUGAUAGUGAUAGUCUGUUGUCUUGUGAAAGGUUUUUUUAGUUCAUAAAUGUAUUUUUGUAGGGGAAAUGUAUUAGCUGCUCAAUUUCUAUGUUCUAAAACACACUUUUGUUGAAAGUGGAGAACCCAAAAUAUUAACCCCCGACUUUUACUUCUUAUUUGUUUUCUUGUUUGAUGACUAACUGCAGAACUUGUACUAUUAAUUGGCAUGAGGCAUAUUUGAGCUACCUAUAAGCUUGAAAGUAGAAGAAGAAGAGAUAGAGAGAGAGAGAGAGAAGCACUGAGAGAGAAAACACAAAAAAACAGAGAGAGAGAGAGAGAGAGAGAUUUCAGUCAAAAAAAUUUAUUACGUACAAUACUGAACCCCAUAAAAAAAUGUAGGACAACGGACACAUAGUUCUUUGCUGGAUACUUCUCUCUAGCCUAGCCAUGGAAGAAUCUUGAGGUUGGUGAAUAGAAAAGCUUGAACCCAUGUCAGGAGUUCUUCUCUUCAAAGAUGGAUCUUUUGUGCUCACCUGAGAAACCACACCAUGGUUCAGGCCAAAACUAUGUACAAUGCAAUGUGUGUGCAGAAAUGUCCAUAACAAUAAUUAUGCAAAAUUUGCAACAACCUACCAUUUUCAUUAACUCUAAAAAUUCUGGAUUUUUUUCCUACUCUGCUCAUACCAUUGCAGUUUUAACUAGUAAGAAGUGAACCUAAAAAAUAAAAAUAAAAAAUGAUAAUGUAAAUAUGAUGAUUUUCUGUAGAAGAAACAAACCCCAUCAAAAUCAAAAUUAAUUUUCCAUUGGGUUUCACUUGAAAAUUUUAGUUGAUUUUAGGUUCACAAAGGAAACAAAAAAAAAAAAAAAAACCUUUGAGAACAUCACAUACCUAUGAGUGAAGGUGCCAUUUAGUUGAUGCUUUCCCCUGAAAGCCAAGAAGAAAACCACAUGUAUUGUGUAAAUAAAAACCUUAAUUAAGGGAAAAUGAUAUUAUAAUAGUAAACAAAUGCAUAUUGGGAUUAACAAACUUCCAAGAAAAUUUAAGUGAUUAAUAGAUUGUGAAAUGAUGAAAAAGCUCACAAUAUGAUUUAGUUAAACAUGAUGAAAAAAAACCCACGGUAUGAAAAAAUAAUUAAGAGCUCCCAAUCUCCACUAUUUAAAAUAUAUGAAAAAAAUUUAGUUAGAUAAAGGUACAAAUUUUUACUAAGGUAUGAAAAAAAAAAACUCUCAAUUUUUAAGGUUUGAAGUGUAUAAAACUAAAAUAAAAUCUAAACCAUGGAAUGAAAGUACAAACAAUGAAAUUGAGGUACAAAAAAUGAUAUCAAGUACAAAGAACAAAAUGAUACAAAUAAAUGGGAUAAAGUAUAAAUUAUACAAAUAAAUGAGAUGAGGUACAAAUUAAUGAGAUCUAAAAAAUAAUCUAAGUAUCGUAUCAAUGCCUAAUAGCCCAAAAGGUUUUUAUCUUUGGAAAAAGAUUAAAACUUUAUAGAAAUCAACUUUAUGUUAAAAAAAUAAAAAUAAAAUAAAAGAGUAAAAAUUCAAAAAAUAAAAAAUAAAAAUAAAACAAGCAAAAAUAAGAGAUAAUAAUAAUAAAAAUAAUAAUAAUAACAACAACAACAACAACAACAACAAUAAUAAUAAUAAUAAUAAUAAUAAUAAUAAUAAUAAUAAUAAUAAUAAUAAUAAUAAUAAUAAUAACCUCAUGGAUUUGGAAAGAAGCCCUAAAACCAUAAAUAACCACAAAAACAUAUUAAGCGAUAUACUUCAAGGCAUGACAAUCAAACAAAGGGACUUUCCUAAACUAAGAACCAAGGGAUCACUCUUUGAAAGCUCUAUUUAUAUCUAAUUAUCAAAAGUCUAAUCAAGCACUUAUAAAUUUAGUUUUGAAAGAGAGAGAGAGAGAGAGAGAGAGAGAGAGAGAGCAUAAGAAGUACAUGAGACACACAUCAAUAAAAUUCAACAAUAUUAUUAGACAAAACUAAGUAAUAUUACCAAGAAAAUUGCAAAAUACUUAAAAAUCUUGGUACACAAGUUUUUGAUAGUUUUAGAAUCUGAAAAAAGAAAAAAAUUCCUCAAAGAUUUAGGGUUUUUCUUGCAAAUAUAUUAAUAAAGUGAACUAAAGGAAUUUGGUAAUUUAUUUUUGAAUCAUCUAUCAUGUGCAUGCAACACAUAGUUAUCAAAGGAUUAACGAUGAUGUAUUGUUUUAAUAGUAAAGAAAAUUACUUAAAAAGAAUUGGAAUCUUAAUUAGGGCUUUUAUUUAAACACACACACAUUUUGAUCAUACUUUAAAAUGGAGGGAUAAGGGGUUACUGAUUGCCACUCAAAGCUUGCAUAGAUUGGCUAGUGAUUUUUCUAUACCAUCUCAUAAACCAAACAAACUCAUUAAAAACAUGAAAAAAAAAAAUCAUGUUUGAAAAUAAAUACUUAUGAAGGAUUAGAAGUGGGAUGAAUGAUAAUAUCAACAACAAUAAAUUACCUCAAUGACUAAAACCAAGAUAGAUCUCCUAUCUUAGUUGGAUCUCUUUCUGUGAAAUCAUAGAAUGAUAUAGAAACAAAGUAAAUGUUAUGAGAUUAAAAAAAACUUACAAAUAAUCAGAAAUAGAGGAGCAUCUAUUGAACAGAGAUGUAGAAUAGGAGGUGUGCGGGUUUGGGCAAGCAAAAGAAGAUGCUUGGUACUCUUAACAUGUUUGGAGAGAUAUUUUUCGCUACUUAUAAUGAAAUCCUAGUGUUAUAUCAUCAACUCUUUUUAAGUUAAUUUUCGAUCAAACCAAGAGAAGUCAUCAACUACAAUUGCAAACCUAUAAAGGAAAAAAAAAAGGAAAGAGAAAUAUAUAGCAAUAAAGGGGGUAUAUAUAUUCCACCUGCGUGCAUAACUACAAAAAUAUCAUUUAAUAAGUUUUGUAAAUGUAUAUAGUUUACUUGACAAUUUCAUGAUAUGCAUUUAUAUAUAAACAAAUGGAUCUACUUGAUGGUAAAGUAACUCAAGAUGACCUGAAAGAAAAAUUAGAAAAAGCAAAUCUACAAAGAAGAAAAGUAAUUUAUGUGGUUUAAUAGUGUGCUUAAUUCAUAACAACAACAAGAUCUAAUUGCUAAAGAUUUCAAAAGAUUACAAGAACAAUUACAAAGUACUCUUAGAAGCACUCUCUCUAGUUUCUUUUAGGGGAGUUUUUUAGAAACUCCUAAUUAAUUGAGAAAAAAAACUAGUUUAAAAUAACUCGAAAGCGUGAAGAAAACCAUCAAACCUAAAUUUAGCCAUGCAAUUUUAGAAGUAACUAAAUUGUCAUGACUUAAAAGAUCAAACCUAAAUUUAGCCAUGCAAUGUUAGGUCAAGUGGUUCAAAUAGAGGCACAAUAAAUAACCUCCACCUUGGAGAGAUUUCAAACUAACAAAACAAUCUUUGAGGAUUUUUGAGACUUACUCAAUUGCACUCAAUGUGGAUGAAGUACAAGCAAUGGUUAAUCUAAAAACAGUUUUUGUCAACAAAUCAACAGUAGCAAUCAUUUGUAGUAAUAUGUUGACUUUCAUCUAGAAUCUCUUUUGACAAAAUGAAAUUGAACAUCCAUGUUUUUUCGUUUGGGAGUUGUGGAUUUGAUUCUUCUCUAAAUGUAUGGAUGUUUACUUAUCACAAUAAAUCAUAUUGCAAUCCUGAAUUAAUCAAUCCCAAAACCUCAACCAUUUGCUUAUCACAAUAUACAUUUUCCAUAUCUUUCUUUUUGUUAAUUCAAAGCCAUAGAAAAAGAACUUCACAAGCAAAUCAACAACGCACUCCCUCUGUUUUAUCUUUUAAGGGGGCUAGACCCAGUGACAGAAGCUAAUCAACUCGAUCAAAGUAAAAUGUAUGCCUCCCUUUGUGCAAAACUGCAUGAUCUGGUCAACUCUAUUGAUUCAGUACAUCCAGCUAGUUGAACGGGCAGAGCUAGCAGAAAAAAAAAAAAAAAAAAAAAGCAGCAGUAGCGGGAAGAGGGCGAGUGAGAGAGGCAACGAGGACAAAGGUACUUGAAGAAGCAGCAAUGCCAUCAGCAACAACAUCUAGCAGUGACACUCGGUAUUCCAAGUGCCCACAGCCUUUAUGCAAAACCAACAAAUAUGUAGCUUCAUCUGCAAUAUUUACCAAACCAUUAGCAAUGCCAUUAGCAAUGCCAUCAGCAACAACACAUAGUAUUGACACUCAAUAUUCCAUAGUGCCCACAGCCUUCUGGGCAAAACCAACAAAUAUAUAGCUUCAUCUGCAAUGUUGACCAAACCAUUAGCAUUUACUAAUCAGUUUUGAGAAUCCUUGACGCCCAAUAAAGAUGAACUGCAUAUACAUGUUGAAAUCAUUUUCAUCAUCAUCAAAAUCAAUGUUCUACAAGAUUGUUCCAUGGGGUAUAGCAUAAGAUGCAGUUACUUCACAUGCAGAUACAUAUCCCAUGCUUUUUUGUGGAAGCAAAUGGGCAAUGCUUCUAUUUUGUGUUGUAGAUAACUCUGGACAUACCAACAUUAAUUUCCAUUUUUCACUUCUAUCUGUGGGUUGUUCUUUUGAGGGUGACCUUUGUCACAGAGAAAUGUGUUGAAAGAAAUGGAAAGAGAACAAUAAUAAUUAUGUUGCAUUGCUUUUCAGGUGAUCUUUGCCACAGAAAAUCCCAUUAAAAGAAAAAAGAAACCAACCCAAGUCACAAGGAUGUUUUUGCACGUUCAGAUCCAAAUAUGCAUUCGGGCAUAUUCUAGCAUCAAAAAGAUGUUUCAUUAUGCCACAAAACAACCAAUGCAAGUAUUAACGUGCAAUAAUAUAGGUUUAUACUCCAGUAAAGUGUGAAAACAUCAGAAUAGAGUUUUCUAUGAGAACCUGAUUAUAAUCCCCAUCAUCACUGAAUUUCCUCUUCUGCCUCUUCUUCUUUUCCACCUUCAUCUUCUUUCUUUUCCUUUCCACCUUUCCCAUCUUGGCCAUAGACAUUUGGAGAUCAAUCACUGACAUAGAAAUCACAAGGAAAUGGGCUUAACCAAAGAGAACCAAACCCAGAAAAAAUGAAAAUUGAUCAAGUACCAAUAAUAAGAGUAAAUUGUACCAUAAAAUAUUAAGCUCACAACCAACCAGCAGACUAUUUUUUACCUCAAUUUUCUUUCCAAGCUUCAAAGAACUCUAACUUCUGCUUGUCUUUUGUACAAACAAAUUACUUAGUUCGAUUUAAUAUCAUUGAAAUUGUCCUGCAGGGACAACCUUGAGCACAAACAAAGAACCAGUUGAUUCUAUCAUAAGUAAAAAUUUCAUAUAAUCUCAUCCUUAGGAGAGCAGUUUCAAAACUGGUAUACAUGAUGCCAAAACGAAAAAAGAUUAGUCUAAAGGAAGGGAAUAACUAAACAACUGCAAUAUAAAAGUCCAUCUCAAAGAAGUAAAUUUACAAUUGAAAUUCUACUAUUGACUAAAUAAGUUAAAUUCUUGUAACCACUGGUAUACAUGCAUAACUUAAUUAAUAAUAUGUGAAAUGUGACUUAGAGACUCAGAUACCAUCUACAUCAUUUAUCAAUUAUCUACACUGGUAAUAACACAAGAAAACCAACAAAAACAAAUCAAAUGGCCCUAGUUUAAAAAGAAACCACCAAUUCUCCACUCUAUGGGAGCAAAUAAACAUACAUGAGGCAAUAACAUAAGAGUUAAAUAAACAAAAGAAAAUGUUUAGAACCACAAAGUUAAAAACUUAAAUGCAGAAGCAAAGAAGUUAAAAUCAAGAUAUUCAAUUCUCGUCGUACCUAACUUUGGAUUCCAUCACACUUUUCGUUUAUCAUGUGGUGUGCCCUUCAUACCUAGAAUCUCAGUGGGUAAAGAACACUUUUUAAACUCAAUAUAUAAAUUCCCAUCAAGAAUUAUUAUAAGUUGUUCAGCUUUCAAACCUUGGAGCAGUUCUAAAGGAAAAUUAUAAGAAGUGAGCCUUAGAAUCUGUUUUGGAGGAUCCCAUUUUAAUGUUUCAGCUUGGCAAAAAGGUAAGGUCUGUGUUGUGGCUUUCCGUCAUCAAACAUUUAUAAAAAAAGGUAAGGUCACCAUAUUGUAGUCAAACAGAACUGGGAAACUAAACAUCUCACAGCAAUAGAAGCAGCAAGUCAGAGUGCAUUAAAACAAAGUGGCAUAACAGAAACUCAACAACAAACUAUCUAAGAUCUGAGUAAAAAAUUGAACAUGAUAAAUAGCAACAUGGCAUAAUACUAAAUUUUUUUUUCAACUCAUGGAUACAAAAUGCAAUUAGUUGCAACCAUGCAUGUAUGAGUGGAGAAACAAAAAUAGAAGGAUGAAUUUCUGGUUAAGAGAAUAAAAUGAAAAAAAAAAAAAAGGUAUUGCAGUGGAAGUAUGCAUCCAUACAGAAAUAUACGUACAUACUUGCUGGUAACCUUGAGGCUUGGCUCAAUCAGCAAGGGUUUGGGUGGGAUCCGGAAGAUUUUGGGUUUGAGUUCCAAUAGAAAUAUGCAUACAUACAUACAUACAUACAUGUACACACACAUGCGUGUGUAUGACUCACUAUUCAUAAAAGGAAAAUAAAAAAAAUAAAAAAAUAAAAGCAUAAUGCCAUUCGCAAGCUUACAGUUGAGUUUGUUGGUUUUAGAAGUGAAAUAUAUUAUGCAAAGUAAUUAUCCCCUCACUUUUGAGUUGGGAACAAAUUUCUUGGUGUGCUGUGCUUCAAGAAAAUUUCAGAAUUGUUCUCACUUCUGACCAGAGGUAACAAAUCAGUUAUUGAUUGCUUAUGCACUCAUCCUCUAGAGGAAAUGAUACAACAAAGAGAAAGUGAAAUACUGACCUUUGUUUGAUCAAAAAAUGGGAGGAAAAAAAGAAGAGAAAUGAAAAUAUAGAAGCCAUUCAAUUACCAGACGUCUUGAGUAUUUAGGUAAAAGAUUUGAACCAUUUCCAACCAAUCACAAGCCUUAACCCCAAUUGAAGUAAGGAAUUUGAUAUCUUUUCUAUUAAUGCCUCAUAAAUGGAAUGGAAACCGAAAACAUAAUUUGAACAAUGAAAUACUUACUCUUUGGGACUGUGUCUUCAAGAUAAUAAGCGGAGAAUUUCCAAUAAUUUUGCAUCUUGCAUUUCGAAUUACUGGGGUCUUUUUUCCUCAAGCACACAGUAGACAUAAGGUAAUUCAAUAUCUUGAAACAACAAAGAGAAUUCUUUUACAUGCAUAAUAGAAGAAUUGUUAUAUCUCAUAUCGAAUAGGGGAAAAAGUUAUUGACCCUAUGUAUAUAUGAAUUUCUCUUAACUAUUUAGACAUUUUAAAGUCAUGAGGGCCCCUUGUACUUAGAGAGAACAAUACUUACAUGAGGAGGAAAUAAUCAAACUUAAGGGGUUUCUAGGCAAAGAGUUUGAAAUCAAAGACUUGGGCAAUCUCAAAUACUUUCUCGUUAUGGAAGUUGCUCAAUCAACAAAGGUUAUUUUUGUUUCUCAACGAAAGUAUGUCCUAGACUUACUAAAGGAAACAAGGAUGCUCAAGUGCAAGCCUACGGAUACUCUAAUGGAUUCAACAACUAAACUAAGAGCUAAAGAAGACAAUUGAUUACUACUCAAAAAGUACUCUUUUAUAGCUUGAAACUAACUGUUUUAAACACCUUUGAGUAGUAGUUAAUACAUUUUAACUCAAUUGGCACAUUAAGGAACCUGGCAAGGGUUACUAAUCAGUUUUUGGCAAGUUUUAGUGUUUUUGGUAGCUUUUUGAUCAUUGAAACAAGCCAAGAAGAUGGAGAAUUUUGUGAAAUCAAUAGCAAUGCAAGUUAAAGCUCAAAUACAUGAAGAAUCCAAGCUUUGGAGCACUUCAUAGCCCUUUGCCAAGCCAAUCAAAACUCAUCCCUGUGGACGAUCCUAGAACCACUAUACUAUGUUAGCUAUGCUACCCUAGUGUGAGGUGAUUUAGGUUUUAUAAAUUUUUUUGAUAACAGCCGCCUGAACCAGAAUCAAAUGGCAUGAAUGCAACAAGGGACAAAUCAAAUGGCGUCGUUGCCGGGAACGAAUCAACAAUGCAUCGGUAGUCAAAGGCAAAUACCAAAAACUAGUGGGAAAACUUGUUGGAAAAUAAAAUCUUCUUAUUAUCUCUUUGAAAAAUUAGUACAAAUAUAUAUAUACAACUUUCAAACUUGUACAAUAAAUGGAAAUAGAAUAAGACAAUUGACCUACUCCUAAAAUUCUUCCUACAAAUCCUCUAAAUUACAAUUUCCCUAAUUUACAUAAUCAACUAAUUUAAGUAUGCAUAAAAUCAAGAAUAAAUCAAAUAAACACCAUGAUAUCAAGAAUAAUUAUUUAGAUUCUAACACUCCCCCUCAAGCUAGUUCAAAGACAUCUUUCAUUCCCAGUUUGCUAACCAUAGAGUUGAAGGUAGGAUUCUGAACUCCCUUUGUGAAGACAUCAAAUAGUUGUAGUUUAGAUGCAAUAAACGAAGUGCAAAUUAGUCCACUAUCAAUAUUUUCUUUAAUGAAAUGUCUAUCAUUUUUUUUAUAGACUAAAAUGUCUAUCAAUGUCAACAUGUUUAGUCCUGUCAUAUUGUAACAGAUUGUGAGCAAUGCUGAUUGCAACCUUAUUAUCACAAUACAAUCUCAUAGAGAUCUUAAGAUUAACUUGUAGUUCCCUUAAUAAACCCUUUAGCCACAUGAGUUCACAAAUGCCAAGGACAUGACUCAAAACUCUACUUCAGCACUAAACCAAGCAACUAUAUUCUAUUUUUUGCUUCUCCAAGCAACCAAGUUACUGCCCGUAAAAGUACAAUACCUGAAAUAGAUUUCUUAUCAGUAAUAGAACCUACCCAAUCUGCAUUUGUGCAAGCCUUAACUCUAAGGUGAUUGUUCUUUAAGAACAAUAAACCAUCUCCUAGAGUUGACUUUAGGUACCUCAAGAUUCUUAAGACUACAUCCAUAUGGCAUUCAAGGGGGAGUGCAUAAAUUGACUUACCAUGGUGACAACAUAUGCUAUAUCUGGUCUCGUGUGGGAAAAAUAAAUUAAUCUCCCAACAAGUCUUUGAUAUCCAUCUCCCUUUGUCAACUAGUAUUCCUUCAAUGAUAGUGCCUAAUUGAUGGUUUUGAUCAAUAGGUGUGUCUGCAAGUUUGCAUCCUAGCAUCCCGAUUUCAUUUAGCAAAUCAAGGAUAUACUUCCUUUGAAUAACAUAAAUUUCCAUUUUUUUUUAUCUUGUCACCUCAAUGCCAAGAAAAUAUCUUAGAUUUCAAAUUAUUUUACCAACUUUCCUAUAAGAUUCUGCAUCUCUUCUAUAUCAUCUCCAAUGACAAUUAUGUUAUCUACAUAAAUAAUAAAUAUAGUAAUCUUCUUUUCAAGUGAUUGCUUGAUGAAAAGGACAUGAUCUCUUUGGCUUUGGUGAUAGUAAAAUUUGAGUGGAGACUUAGCAAAUCUCUCAAACCAAGACCGAGGAGACUGCUUCAAAUCAUAUAAUGAUUUUUUUCAAUCCACAAAACUUUCCACUAUUGAAUUUUCCUUCAAAACCAGGAGACAAAUCCAUAAAUACUUCUUCUUCCAAGUUUUCAUGCAAAAGGGCAUUUUUUUACAUUAAAUUGUUGAAGAGGUCAAUCAAGUUUGUUGCUAAAGAUAAAAGAACUCUAAUGGAAUUCAUAUUUGUCACAGACGCAAAAGUUUCUUAAUAGUCAAUUCCAUAGGUUUAUGUGUAUCCCUUUGCUACUAACCUAGCUUUAUACUUCUCAAUUGAACCAUUAGAUUUGUAUUUAAUAGUGAACACCCACUUGCAUCCCACUUAUUUUUUUCUUUGGGAAAAUCAACAAUAUCUCAUGUUCCAUUUUUAUACAAUGCUUUCAUCUCCUUAUUUACAGCCUCCUUCCACCUAGGAUCACUUAGAGCCUUUUAUACAAUAUUAGGAAUUGAAUUCCAGGAUAAAUGAGUGGUAAAGGUCUUAUAUUGGUGGCAAAGUCUAUGGUAGGAUAGAAAGGAUGUUUAGUACAACUUCUAACACCUUUGCGAAUAGUUAUAGGAAUAUCAAAAUUAGUGUCAAAACCAUGAUUAAGAAUAGAGGGAUUAAAAGGAUUAAAUGUACCUAAUUCUAGAGUUGAUGAUUGGUCAUGUGUAAGAGAGAUUGGGUCUUGCUCUUGCAUCAGUAGCCUUAGCCUCCUAGAGUAAACCAUAAAGUUUAAAUCAACAUUUUUUGCUAUUGUUGGUUUUAUGAUGCCAGUUUAUGUUCCUGUUAUUGGUUGUAUAUUAUUUACUUCAUCUACCUCACCAUGUGAGAAAAUAAAGGCUAAUCUUAAAAGAGAAAAACACCUAAGAAGGGGGGUGAAUUAGGUUUUUUAAAAAUUCUUUUUAAACACAACAAAUUUAAGCACCAAAGAAGCAAAUAUAAAUAGAUAAGGUUAGAGAAAUCAAACUCAGAUUUUAUAGUGGUUCGGCACUUCCUUGCCUAUGUCCACUCUCCUCAAGCUCCUAACUGAGUGAGGGUUCCACCAACUUGAAGCUUCAACCAAGCUUCUAAUCACCUUUAGACUUGGAUUCCGACUCCAAUGGGCUUUUACACAAUCUCUUCAAGUUUCAACUCACUUGAAGGCUUUAACAUUCAAUUAACAAGAAUAAAUCUCUCAACCUAGCUCAACAAUAGCUCAAAUACAACUUAAGGUUAGGAUGAAUCACAAAGGUGCACUAAAGAGUAUCCACAUGGAGGUUUAAUGCACCAAGAAAAGAAUGAGAGCUUUUAAGGCAAGAACAAAGUGGGUAGACAAAUAAAUGCAAGUGUUCUCUUACUCAUAAAUGUAACUUUAAAGAAUAAAUUGAGUUUUUCAAAUAUGUAUGAAAUGAUAUGUAAAUCCUAAGUGCACUCAUGCAUUCACCUUACAUAUGUUUCCUAUGAUUAAAGGUCUUCCAAAGGUCUUGAUCUUGCAUCCAUUUGGUUCUUUGAUGAAUUUCCAAAUUAACACCUGAAAUUCUUUAUAAUUCAAACCAAUUAGUAACUUAACCAUGGUUUGUUAUCAUUAAAACUUUAUUAGGAGAACCCUUGUGCUAACACUAUGUUUAGUAGCAUUUUAUGCUAUUAUUGGUUUUAUGAUGUUAGUUUCUUUCCCUUUUAUUGGUUUUAUGUUGUCUACCUCUUCUACAUCACCAUGUUUAGUAGCAUGACUCCAAAUGGGUAAAGAAAGCAACCAAGAUUGAUCUUGCAAUAUUUUCUCCCCCUAAAGAUCAGAUUUCUGGUAAUACGACUAGUUUUUAAAAAAACUUACAUCCAUGGAGACAAAUUUCCUUUGUGCAGGUGGAUGAUAGCACUUGUACCCUUUUUAUGUGGGGGAAUAACCCAAAAAAUAUACUUAGUGGCUUUAGGAUCAAGUUUGGAAUUUUUUUUUUUUUUUGGAUAUAGACAAAUAUAGUACAACCAAAGACUUUGGGUGGAAGGAAGCCAAGGCA